This 49969-nucleotide long non-coding RNA is filed under the name Triticum aestivum (bread wheat). RNAcentral's name for it is "long non-coding RNA (TAES_LNC016983)". The record is from RNAcentral. Lineage: Eukaryota; Viridiplantae; Streptophyta; Magnoliopsida; Poales; Poaceae.
UGUUUUUUGGUGUUGGCCACCCGGAGGGCCGCCAGCUUCUCUUCUCGCGCAUCUUUGCAGUGGACUCGGGCCAGACACAGAGCAACAUCUGCACCGCACCGAGCCGAGGACUUUUUCCACUCCUGCACUCGACCAGGGAUCGUGUUCAAGCGAGCCAUCAGCGACUCAAGGUCAUUCUGAAGUGUCUCCCCGGGCCAGAGCGUCGAGUCGAUGCGAGAUGUGGCGACCUUCAGCCUUGCAAGACAGUCCACGGCAGCUGCAACACGGGACUCCAGUCGGAAAACAUUCAUGGCAACUUCGUCGUUCACCGGAGAAUUGACGGGGUCGAGGUUUGGUUCCAGCCGGCUAGUUUCUUCUUCAAAGUUUUGACAAAAUUCUGCAAGGACGAUCACCGAGUCAAGGUGAUGGUCGAAUGGAAAAACCACGAUUGGAAAUAAUUGCCGAGCAUAGAGGUUUACCUUCAAGCAUAAGAAACAGCUUCUUGGCAAGACCACUCAGGAAGGCCUCCAGAUCAUUUUUCUUCCCAGUCAACUUACUGACUUGGUCGGUCAGGGCAGCUUUAUCAGUUUUCAGUCGACUGACCUCCUUGUUGGCGAUCCCAAGAGCAGCUUUCAGAUUGGUAUUGUCUUGUUCAAGCUUGGUGACUGAAGCUAACUUCUCGUCAGCGAGCUUGAUCUUCUCGGCUAGUUCAAGGUCUUUUUUCUAUUGGGCCUCCCUUACCUUACCUGCAAGUUACAGCAAGAUCAGAUUUUGAAACAAACGAAGGGGAAAAUCAGUCGUCAAGGUCUCACCAAACAUACCUUCGGUCUCCUCCUUUGCCUUCGUCAGUUUCUCCUGAACCAGCUUCAAAUUCAGCUCGAGCUGAACGUGCUUGUUUUCCAGCUCAGAGUAGCGAGCCACAAGAUCACAGGAGUUCUGCGAAGAACCAAUCGACUAAAUGUCAAAUAUAAUUCACUUCCGAGUGAAAAAGGAAAAAUCACACGUUUCUAAGACUACAGCCGAAUACAAGCAUUCGACCGUAGUCUCGGGGACUACACCUAGUGGGUGCACUCAGCGUGCCCCCACUAAUCCUAUCGAAGAUAGAGUCAACCAGUCGACCUCAAAAAAAAAGAGAGAGAUGUAUUCUUUAAGACUGUAAUCGACUGCAAGCAGUCGAUCACAGUCUCGGGGACUACACCCAGUGGGUGCACUCAGCGUGCCCCCACCGGUUUGCGAAAUCCAUUCGACAUAGUCGAAUGACGCAAAGACUGAAAUUAUAAAACCUAAAGCCGACUGCCAGCAGUCGACCUUAGCCUUUGAGACUACACCCAGUGGGUGCACUCAGCGUGCCCCCACUAAUCCUAUUGAAGACAGAGUCGACCAGUCGACCAAUUUGCGAAAUCCAGUCGACAUAGUCGAAUGACGCAAAGACUGAAAUUAUAAAGCCAAAGGCCGACUGCCAGCAGUCGACCUUAGCCUUGGGGACUACACCCAGCGGGUGCACUCAGCGUGCCCCCGCUAACACGGAGUCUAAGUCGACACACCCACUGGGUGACUACUAUAAAUUCAGGAAAGAAAAGUUUUUGAUAGCAUAUCUUAACAGAACAGGCGGUGGUCGACUGACCUGAACAUUGCUUUGAAGGGCGGAACUAGCAUCGUAAGCUGCCUGGCUCGCAUCCCGGAUGGUCCUUAACUGCUCCAUCAUGAUCCCUGCCUGGCGUAUCGCCUCCUUCGCGGCGCCAGCUUGGUCCUCUGGGACAUGGUGCGUCGUGAAGAGGGAGGGCUGCUGAGCACUCGUCAGUGGAUCUGCGAAGGACACAGUGUGUCGAGUGGUGUUCUCCUCCUCCGCAACCAGAGUCUCAGGCACCUUCACAUCCUGGGGCACCCUGCUGGCAGACGCUUUCCUACUCCUUCUGUGCUUCAGCGGUUCCUCAUCUUCAUCAUCAGGGAGAGUGAAAACAACAUUCGGUGGAGCUACAGAAAAGAAUCAGGAUUAGAGAUCAUGAGUCAGUCGACUAAAAACAGAGUUAAGAGUAUAGUACCUGGUUUUGAGGUUGCUGCGUCCUCCAUCUCAUGGUCAUCAGCCCGGGCUGAGGUCUCAGAAGUAGCAGCACUGCAACUCCAAAGAAUCAGUCGACUAACUCCAGCGCCAACCAGAGACAAAGUUCACACAAAAUAGGAAGUCUUAAGCAGCAUGAUUACCCUGAUAUGGUGGGGAUGGACACCUUCAUCUUCGGCAGGAGCUUGGUCGGCUCUGACGAAGCCGCCCUGGGCUGCUUCGACGCCUUUUCAGUCGGCGCCGGAGAGGUGGUCCGAGGGCGCUUGGUUGACUGAGCAACGGUCGCAACCCCCUUGCCAUGUUCAGUCGCAGGGUCGUGGACAAGCUUCGACCGCCUUUCCGAGCGCGGUGGUAUGACCUCCUCCUCCUCUUCUUCCUCGUCUUCAGCAUCAUCUUCAUCACCGUCAUCGUCGUCAUCAUCGUCAUCAUCCUCAGCAACGUCCGAGUCCCACUCCUCCUCCUGGCUCUCGCCCCCACUCGCCUCACCCUCCUCAGUCGGAGCCUGUGCUCCAUUGGGCAUCGAGUAUAGCUCGGUGAGGGCCUGAUAGACAUCAAGACAAAGAUCAAUCGACCGAUUGGCAGAAUAAACAGAAAUGAAUAUGACAAGAAAACAGUGGAGAGCAGAGCAGGCAUACCUUGUUUGGAUCACUGUGGUGGUCGAGUGGAGGAAUCCUUCUGGCUCCGCGUGGGUUAUCCUUGUUUCCGGUAACGGCAGCCAUCCACCUUUCCAGAGUGACAUCGUCGACUGCUUCUGGAUGGACCCGAGUCUCGUCCUCGGUCCCACAGUACAACCACAUGCAGUGGCUCCGGAACUGAAGGGGCUGGAUACGACGCCUAAGGAAAACCUCCAAGAGAUCCAUGCCCGUCACUCCCUCCCGAACCAACUGUACUACGCGCUCCAUCAACAUCUUCACGUCAGCUUUCUCCUCCGGAAUCAACUUCAGAGAAGAGGGCUUGUUCACUCGAUCCAUGGUAAACUGAGGGAGUCCACUCGACUGCCCCGGCGUCGACUGAUCCUGGCAGUAGAACCAGGUCGACUGCCAGCCUCUGACUGACUCGGGAAAAGUCAUGGCCGGGAAGGUGCUCUUAUUCCUCACCUGGAUCCCCAGGCCCCCACACAUUUGGACGACUCGGGUUCUUUUGUCGCCUGGGCUCGCCUUCUUCACGGUCUGAGAGCGACACGUGAAUAUGUGCUUGAACAAGCCCCAGUGCGGUCGACAGCCCAGAAAACCCUCACACAUGGACACGAACGCGGCAAGAUAGGCGAUAGAAUUUGGGGUAAAGUGGUGGAGCUGCGCUCCAAAGAAGUUCAAGAAACCACGGAAGAAAAUACUCGGCGGCAAAGAAAAUCCACGAUCGACAUGGGUAGCCAGGAGCACGCACUCACCCUCUUCUCGCUAGGGCUGCCACUCCUUCCCCGGAAGCCUCGCAGCUCCAUGGGGGAUCAGGCCCUCGUUGGCCAUGUCGAGGAGAUCUUUCUCCGUGAUGCUCGACUGGAUCCAAUCUCCUUGGACCCAGCCCUUCGGCAGGCGGGAUCUAGACGAAGACCCGUCGCGGCUGGUGGAUCUCCCCUUCGCCUUCUCCGUCGCCGACGCCUUCUUCGCACGUUCCAGCGCCGCCGUCUUCUCCUUGGCCAUGGUUGCCGGUGAGACGCGCGAGGAGAGGUUGGGCGGAGGCGAGAGCGAGCGCGUUGGGCGGAGACGAAGGGAGCAGAGAAAGAGAAUGCUGAGGCACUGUACAAAAAACCCUCGCCGGGCGCAUUUAUAAGGUCCCUUCCGAGUGGAUGACAGGUGGGCCCGGUCGAUCUAAUCAUAUCCAGGAACAGUUAUGCAGGAGGGAUACGUGGCGAAGAAAGCGGCGCGGGGAUCGAGGCAUCUAUGUCCCGUCCCAUCCGAACGCCGCAGCCCGCUCCGCUUCGUGCGCUUCCCCAAAUUUCGCAUCCCGCGGAAUCCGCGAACGGCAGACCGGUCUGUCAGACGCGGGAUUUCCUGCGAUCCGUCGCUCGGAAAUCAUCAAAGCCCGAAAGAUCACUUGACGAAAGAAGAGAAUGGAUCGAGUCGACUGAAGACAAGUUGGUCACUAUCAAUGAAGAGAUUCUUUGGUCCAGAACAACGCACGACCAGUGUGCAAAAGUUAAUCGGAAACAACAUCAACUCCUUCCUCACUCGAAGCCUCAAUCCAUUCGGGGCUAAUGAUGGGGUCAUGUACCUAGGGUAGGGUCACAGACCUGAUCUAAGUACCCUGCCCAAAGACACCCUUAGAAGAGGUCACCUUCCAGUCGACCAACGAGGGACUCACUCGACUGACUUGAAGGACUCGACCACGAAGACUCACUCGACCACCAGAAGGUCAAGAGGCACUCUGCACUGCAACGGCCUGUAAUUAAGUAGACUUUAUGAUAGUAAAGACACUUUAUGUGGGGCGUUACCAGUAACGCCCCGGACUUAAAUCACCUUAAACCCUCUCCUACGUGGGCUGGCUGGGGUCCUGGCGCACUCUAUAUAAGCCACCCCCCUCCACAGGUAGAGGGGUUCGGCACCCUGUAACUCAUAUACACAUAAUCCACUCGACCGCCUCUGGGCUCCGAGACGUAGGGCUUUUACUUCUUCCGAGAAGGGCCUAAACUCGUACAUCCCUUGUGUUUACAACCUCUCCAUAGCUAGGACCUUGCCUCUCCAUACCUAUCCCCCACUCUACUGUCAGGCUUAGAACCACGACACUCACCGGGUUCGAAGCUGACCCUACGAUGUUUCUGAUCAUAAUAACUCUUCUGUCGACUUUGAGCGGUCUUAAGUCGGUCUCUGAUUAGCUUGACCUUUUCCUCGGCUUCUCUAAGCAUGUCUGGUCCGAAGAUGCGGCUGUCUCCGGUCUCUGACCAAUUUAACGGGGUAUGACACCUUCGUCUGUAUAAGGCCUCAAAUGGUGCCAUUUGUAGGCUGGCCUGGUAGCUAUUGUUAUACGCGAACUCGGUGUAUGGCAGGCUUUCUUCCCAACUGGUUCCAUAUGUGAGGACACAUGCUCUCAGCAUGUCUUCUAAAAUUUGGUUUACGCAUUCAGUCUGUCCAUCAGUCUGUGGGUGGUAUGCGGUACUGAAGGCUAGUUGGGUUCCCAGAGCCUGUUGUAAAUGCUCCCAAAAUCUUGAGACGAACUGAGUGCCUCUGUCAGAUAUUAUAGUCUUCGGGACACCGUGCAGGCAAACUAUGCGGGAAAGAUAAAUCCUGGCAAGCCUCUGAGUGGUGUAGGUUGUCUUCACUGGAAUAAAGUGUGCCACUUUGGUUAACCUGUCAGUGAUGACCCAUAUGGCAUCAUUCCCGUGUCGUGACCGAGGUAGUCCGACAAUAAAAUCCAUCCCUAUUUCAUCCCAUUUCCACUCAGGUAUUUUGUUAGGUUGCAGUAGUCCGGCUGGUCUCUGAUGUUCUGAUUUUAUGCGUUGACAUGAGUCGCAACAUGCAAUGAAGGUGGCUAUGUCCCUCUUCAUACCGUGCCACCAAAUUCCUUCCUGAAUAUCUUUAUACAUUUUGGUUCCUCCAGGGUGAAUUGAAUAUGGUGAGGUGUGUGCUUCAGCUAAAAUUUGCUGUUUAAGGUCUUCUAUGUUUGGCACGCAUAGCCUAUCUCCGUACCAUAAUAUUCCUUCAUUGUCUAUGACGAAUUCCGAGGCCUUGCCCAUACUCAACUUUCUUUUAAUUCCUUCAAUGCUGGGGUGACCGGGCUGAGCUUCUUUAAUUUUCUCCACAAGGUUGGGUUGUAUUUCCAAGUUUGAUAUGGUGCCUUCUGCUACCAUUAUCAAGUUGAGCUUGGCAAAUUCUUGAUGGAAUUCGGGCCUCAAGCUGUGCAGAUAGUUUAUGUCGGAGCUGGGGUUCCGACUAAGGGCAUCGGCCACUACAUUUGCUUUCCCUGGAUGGUAAUGGAUACCAACAUCAUAAUCCUUUACUAACUCCAACCAACGUCGUUGCCGUAAAUUUAGUUCUGGCUGCGUGAAAAUAUAUUUAAGACUUUUGUGAUCCGUAUAUAUUUCACAUCGAUUCCCAAGUAAGAAAUGCCUCCAUUCCUUGAGUGCAUGAAUAACUGCUGCCAUUUCUAAGUCAUGAGUGGGAUAAUUUUCCUCAUGCUUGCGAAGUUUCCUUGAAGCGUAGGCGACAACCUUGCCUUCUUGCAUCAACACGCAUCCGAGACCCUUUCUGGACGCGUCACAAUAUACUUCAAAAUUCUUGUGUAUGUCGGGUACGAUCAAUACCGGUGCUGUUGUUAACUUUCGCUUUAGCUCUUGGAAACUUUUCUCGCAGGCUUCUGUCCACUCAAACUUCUUAUCUUUCUUGAGCAACUGUGUCAUAGGCUUGGCUAUGGUGGAAAAUCCUUCAAUAAAUCUGCGGUAAUAUCCUGCCAUUCCCAAGAAACUCCGUAUGUCCGUUACGCUGGCUGGUGAUUUCCAGUCAACUACGGCCUUGACUUUCUCUGGGUCCACUGCGAUACCGUCUUGAGUCAGCACGUGGCCUAGAAAACCUACUUGUCUUAGCCAAAAUUCGCACUUGCUGAACUUGGCAUACAAUUGGUGUUUUCUUAGCUCUCCUAGCACAAUCCUGAGAUGUUCUGCGUGCUCUUCUGGUGUCUUGGAGUAUACCAGAAUAUCGUCGGUGAAUACCACGACGAACUUGUCCAUAAACUUCAUAAAUACUUUGUUCAUGAGGUGAACAAAAUAUGCUGGGGCGUUAGUUAAUCCAAAUGGCAUCACUGUGAACUCGUACAGUCCAUAUCUGGAGGUGAAGGCUGUUUUGGGGAUAUCUUCCGUUCGUACCUUCAAUUGAUGGUAUCCUGACCUUAAGUCAAUUUUUGAGAAUACCUUGGCCUGAGCAAGUUGAUCAAACAAAUCGUUUAUCCUUGGCAUCGGGUAUUUGUUUUUGACUGUGACCAUGUUAAGUGCUCGAUAGUCAAUACACAAUCUCAGCGUUCCAUCCUUCUUUUUGGCAAAUAAAAUUGGUGAUCCCCAAGGUGAGGAGCUGGCUCGAAUGUAUCCUUUUUCCAGUAAUUCCUUUAUUUGCUUCUUCAACUCGAUCAACUCGGAUGGUGCCAUUCUGUAUGGUUUCUUGUAUAUGGGGGUGGUUCCUGGUGCUAGCUCAAUGCGGAAUUCUAUCUCUCGGUCUGGUGGCAUGCCUGGUAGCUCUUCAGGGAAUACAUCUGGAAAUUCACACACUACUGGAACCUUGUUUAGCUCAGAAACGUCCACCUUAUUUAAUCUCGGUUGCCGGGGUAUUUUUCCUUCCUUGGCUGAUACUCUUAUUGUCUUCCCUUGGUGGUGUGUGAGAAUUACGGUCCUGUUGAAACAGUCGAUAAAACCCUUAUUGGUGGUUAGCCAAUCCAACCCUAGGAUGACAUCCAGUCCUUUAUUUUCCAACACAAUAAGAUUUGCGUAAAACUCCAAUCCUUCGAACUCAAUGACCACAUUCUGACAGUAAUUCUGAGUAACUUGCUGAAUCCCAGGGGACUUGAUGGUCAUGGAUUUCUCCAAAGGAAGCAUCGAAAAAUUAUUUUGCAAAGCAAAACUUUUCGAAAUGAAAGAGUGAGAGGCUCCAGAAUCAAACAAAACCAUUGCAGGUAUUGUGUUGACAGGAAACGUACCGAGUACGAUAUCCGGAGCAUUUUGUGCCUCCUCUUUGGUUACGUGGUUCAGAUGACCCUUCCUGUGGUUAUUGUUGGGAUUGAAAUUGUUUCGCUUGGGCGCUGAAUUAUUGCCGCCGUUGUUCGGCUUUGGGGUUGAACUCCUUGGCUUGGGGCACUGUUUGGCAUAGUGCCCUUCUUCUCCACAAGCGUAACAAGUAACGCCGGGGCGAUAGGUGAAUUCCUUGUCCCUUGCAUGAAAAUUUUUGAUUGGGCGUGAGACAUUGGAUGAGAAUUUGUGUGUCCCACCCUUUUGAAAAUCUGUCUUGCUUCGGUGAUUGCGAGCGUGAUUAGUCUGGUCCCUUUUUCGCUUGCGGAUAUCUUCCAGACUGCGUCUCUCAUUUUCCAGAGUAAUGGCCUUGUCUACCAGUGUUUUAAAAUCAGGAAAAGUGUGCACGACUAGUUGGCAUUUAAGCGCGGGCGCCAGACCGUCAAGGAAUUUCUCCAUCUUGAUUUCAGUCAUACGCUCCUCAUUGGCGUAGCGGGAUAAUAGGGUAAAUUGACUGUUGUAAUCUGACACUGUCAUGUUCCUUUGUUUGAGGUCAUCGAAUUCUCUCUUCUUGAUUUUCAUAAUACUCUUAGGAAUAUGUGCACCACGGAAACCUUCCUUGAAAUCAUCCCAGGUUAUGUCAUUUUCGUUGGGAUGCAUGUGCAGAAAAUUCUCCCACCACGAUGCGGCUGCUCCUGUGAGAUAGUGUGGAGCAUAUAGUACUUUCUCGAGAUCUGAACACUUUGCAAUAAUUAAUUUUCUCUCCAUAUCUCGAAGCCAGUCCUCGGCUUCAAGAGGCUUGUUAGUAUGAGAAAAUGUUUGAGGACGUGUCUUCUGUAGCUCAGAUAACUUGGAAUGCUGUUGAUACUGUCCAUGGUGAUUUCCCAUGUUGAUGACUUGGUUCAUCAUCUCACGAUGUUGUUGCUGACUCUGCUCAUAAAGGCGGCACAUUUGUGAAAGUGCCGAUUCACUGCCCUGUUGGCUUGACUGUUCCUGAGUGAACUCGUUGUUGGGUUGUGCAUCAUAAAUUUCCUCUGGUGGAAUUGGCAUGGAGCGUGUCCAAGGACGAGACAUUUUUCACUCUGGGGAUGUAUUUUUGUAAAACUCAUAAGAAAAGCGGAAAGAGUCGCAAAACAAAACCAUAAAUGCAUAAAGCUGGCAGAUAGAAUUAAAUAACUCGGCUUACUUAAGAAAAACAAAUCGACUUGCGCACGGAGAAGGACUGCUCAUUACAUAUCUUACACGCGGGCGGUAAUUAUACAAUACACCACUCAGGAUAUGCGUACAUAAUCCUGACAUGUUAUUUAGGCUAGUGCACUUCUCCAGAUCCUACAUGAUGCGCAAACAGGCUACUUCUCACAACCUAUGUACAUAUCUUACAAAGCGGUGCAAUACACGGCAGCUAAGCGUACUCAGGCAGAGAUGUUGACGACCACCUUUGCCCUGCCGAGGGCGAGGCGUAGCGAGGUUGGGGACUCGACUUCCUCCUCGCUAAAGGGCUCCAUACGCGUGGUGUUGCGCAGAGUGGACGGAGCGGUUGCCAGGGGCGGAGCAACACGUACAGGAGUGGGCGCGAAGGGUGGUGCAGUGCACGCUGAAGUGGGUGCAAUGACUUGGUUGAAUUCUUCGGUAGAAGGCAGGCGACGAGUAGGCGUAAAAGAUGCUGAGGACGAGACCAAAGUCAGUGGCGGUGCGAUGGGUAGGAGCUCCCUCCUGUUGGCAGCACAGCCAUGGACUGAGUCCAUGCGGGUAGCUACGAAGUCGUCCACCAGGUUGUCGAAGGCUGCCUCCAGGGCCCGGAGAUACUCAAUGAGCAUCUCAAAAGCCUCGUCUCGUUCUCCUCUGGGGCAGGAGUAUGCGUAGUGACAGGUGUAAGGCACAUGGCACGGAAGAUAACGGUAACGACGAGUCUUCAUCACGAGAAGGACAUCCCUGAGACGAGCUAUCGCCUCGCGGGCUGCCAUCUGCAUAGCAUGCCUCUCCGUAGGCAUUGCUCUUCCCACGAACCGGAAGUGGCGUAACUCACCACGCCCUCCCUUGAACUGUACCGCGGCCUGGUGCAUGGUCAGACUGUCGUUGACUCGGUGCUGGCAGAGUGUGAAGACUGGGCGCACGGAUGGCCCCAUCGCGACCUGAACGAUGAAAGAAAGAAGCUUGACGAACCCAUCGGGCACGUUGGCGAAGGUCUGAGACUCGCAGCUGUUGUCGGCCAUCUACAAAAGUAGGUAAAAAUUCUGCAGGGUCAGAUCAUAAAUUUAUGCUGACUGACAGAAAAUGACUACAAUUGCAAAAAUAUAAAUUAGCUCUAUCAUGCUAAUAACUAAAUAGCGAUCGCACCUAGUGGCUUCCUACAGUCAGCCUGGCUCUGGUACCAAGCUUGUCACGACCGGUUUUCCAAUAAAAAUAUUUAUUGAGAAACCAAUCUAUUGAGUCCAGUAUGAGAGAAAUCCUCCUCACUGGUAGACAAUUUCUUGAUACAAUAAGCCAGUAGCAUAAAAUAUAUUACAGGGUUGAACUACGGUUGCUCAACCAAAUUAUUACAAGCACGCCAAUAAUUAUACAUAAUGGCGGACAUGACACAGUGGUGUGGAGACAUACUACUGACUCGAGGAUAGGGCGGUGGUGGAAAAACACAGCAGGGAGAGAAACACAAGACUCUAAGUCUAUCAUCUCAUCGAGCGUCGAGGUGAGGCUCGAUGAAUUUAUUUGGUAGCGGAAGCGGAUAUAAAAUAGUGACCAAAUCCAGGGUCGCACGAGACUGACUGGGACUCCUCUAAGUGUCGGACUCGCUAUCAAACUCUUCAUCCAUGAGAUCGCCUUCGUCAGCAUCUGGCCAAAUCAACAAGCCAGUGAGUACUUUGAAAGUACUCGCAAGACAGUUCGGACGUAAGAUAUAACAAAUGCAUGCAUGGAUGCGUCACGAAUAAAUUCAUCAAUGUACAUUCAAAAAUUAGCAUGACAAGGUAAGUAAAAGGGGAACGGCGGUAGUCCGCCUGAAAUCCCAACAGAACAUAAAUAACUACCGAUCGGGUGUCUGAAGCGACGCCUCGAAAGGUGAACAAUUAAUUAUAAGGAAAUGAUGCCACAGUCGGGCGUCUUAGCGACACCACAUAAAGGGCUUAAAAAGAAAUACCACAGACGGAUGUCGGGGCGACAUCACAGAAAGGGCUUUAAAAGAAAUGCCACAGUCAGACGUCGGGGCGACAUCACAGAAAGGGCUUUAAAAGAAAUGCCACAUUCGGACGUCGGGGNNNNNNNNNNNNNNNNNNNNNNNNNNNNNNNNNNNNNNNNNNNNNNNNNNNNNNNNNNNNNNNNNNNNNNNNNNNNNNNNNNNNNNNNNNNNNNNNNCGUCGGGGCGACAUCACAGAAAGGGCUUGAAAAGAAAUGCCACAGUCGGACGUCGGGGCGACAUCACAGAAGGGGCUUGAAAAGAAAUGCCACAGUCGGACGUUGGGGCGACAUCACAGAAAGGGCUUUUAUGGACAGGUAAAUAAUAAUCAUAAUAAACUUUUAAUUCAUAAGAAUAAAUGGGUUAGUCCAUCCACAGGAAUAUCAUUUAACCGGAGUUAGCAUUCGAGCAAAUCACCGGAGUCUCUGUCAUCAAAACUGACAUUUGAUUAGGAUAAGAUAAUAUCGAUCUAGGACAUGGAAUAGAUGAUUUGGAGGAAUAUAAGACUCUGCAGAGUUUGUACAAAAUUAUUCCCACAGCCAAUGGAUUUCCGUAGUCACGAAGUACUAGUUCCGUUUACGGUAUUUCGGAAGAAAACACAGCUAACCAGUACACACCCAUCCUACCUCUCGAUGCUAGGAAUCACCCUAGACAUCGUCCAAGAAAAACUUUUGAGACGGGGAGAUCACAAUCUCGAAUAGCAUGGGAUCAAAUUUAUAUACGCGCGCUCUAAGGGGUGCCCCCCUCUCGGUCCCAACCGGAAACACCCAUGCCCCCUGACCGGAUGACUGGCUUUAAUCCAGGGCCAUGGAACCAUCAUCCCGGCCUCUCCUUUUGGUGUGUACCAGGAAAGCGGUUUACAACUUACUAAACCAUAUUCCUUGCGGAAAACAUGUGGUAGUACAGGGAAGGCGGAAUGAAAGGAACUGGAAUGAUACGAGCUGACAUUGAAGUCACGUAGUCUGGCAUAAGUCUGGCAUGCUACAACACUGCCAUCUUACCCAUCCUUAUGCCAACACAUGGCCAUUCAUACUCACAUCCAUCCACUUAUGGAUCAUUGAACUCACUUACCUCAUUAUCGCAUAAAAUGACAUUCAUCGAUAUGCUUCUCAACAUGCCAUGAAACUAACUAAAUGCAAAACAUGCCAAGACACUCAUCAUAUCAAAAGUUCAAACAUGCUUGCCUGGUUCAGAGUAGUCGGAGCCUAGCUCGGUGAAGUUUGCGGCUCCGUCACCUCCUUCGGUAUCUACGGUAUAAAGAAAGUAUAUGCGCUAUCGUAAAUACCAAGAGGUGCACAAAAAGUAUACCAAAUAUUUUUCAAAUAAAUCUGAUAAAAAACUAGACAAAAUUCUAAAGAGAACAGAAAAAGAAUCAACCAAAAAUACCUUUCUGUUUAAAAGUUAUAAAGGUUUUUGUCCAGGGACUCAUCUGUAAUGAAAUAGAAGUUUUCUAGGGGCUAGUUUAUAAAAACAGAAAGCACUUCGGUAGCGACUACGCCAGCCCAGAGGGAAAGCGCAUUCGGCAGAAGACGUUUUCAGAAAACGCUUCGCUCCAACAGGAUAGAGAGGCUGACAGGCGGGUCCCACCCGUCAGGUUUAAAUAUUCAAACGGGGCGGCAGAGUUCGCCGGUGCCCGAGAGCCGCGGUGGUCGCCGGCGGUGAUCCACGGCGAGGCAGAGAGAUCGGAGGGUACCUCCGUGUUCAGGGCACCCUUCCGCGUCGGUUGGUGGUGGUGGUGGCGGUCGGCGAGCACCACGUCGACGGCGAGCUUUGCUCCGGCGGACGGCGGUUCGGGUGGUUGCGGACUUCGUUGGAGAGAGCUGUAGUGAUCAAAUUGAGGAGGGGGUUAGGCUUCUGGUAGCUAGAGGGAGUAACUGACGGGGUUUGGGCGCCGGAGAUGGCCUCACCGGAGCGAAUCGUGGUGGAGGCCGAGGUGGAUCGGGGCGGCCGGAGCUUGGGGAGGAGACCUCCUCGAGGUCCCCCUAGUGGCCUGGCGGGGCGUUGGUGAGGUGUGGGGAUGAGGCGUGCACGAGGGCGAGCUCGAGGGCCCUUUUUAUAGGCGGUCCGAGGCGGUGGCCGUGAACGGGGAUUUCCGGCGAUGGUUACGGUGGCGCAGUGCUCGGUCGAGGGUGAUUAGGGAGUCGAGCGCCGUCGUGGGAGUUUACUCGGUCCGUUUAGACGCUAACCGAACUUGGAUUAGAAGCUUAGGGCAGGCUUUGGUCGGAACGGGACGGCGCGGGUCCGUUGGCGGCAGAGAGCGCGUCCCGUGCUGUCGGGCCACGGCGACGGUGCAGCGGGGGUGCGCUGGCGUGCAUGAGGCCACGCGGAGAGCCAGGGAGCGAUGGGCAGCGCGGAACGGCGUUGAGCCGCCGUUCUUGUCCCCUGUCAGCCGCCACGGGAGGUCCCGACGCCGCAGAAGACUCCGGCGAGGGCGGGCCAGCGUGCCACCGACGCCAGGAAGAGGCCAAGUGAGUGUGUGGUGCUCCAGACAGUAGGAAGAGGCGGAGAGGAACCUGCCAAAUGCACUGUGAACGCGUGAGUGAAGCUGACGAACGAAAAAUGACACUGAAGACUGAAUUUUUCUGAAUUUUGAACAGUAACAGUGCCCGCAAGGUGUUCGACAGAAUGCUUUUGGCCUCUGCAGAUUUUUCCUUGAGCUGAAACUUGGUGGAGUGGCUUCUCAUUGCUCACAUAGGUUGCCUGAAUUUUGGUGGAAUUUUUGGAGUAGUGUAGAUAUGAAAUUCAUCAAAUUUGGCAAAUCUGGUCCAAACUUGCAGAGACUGAAUUUUGAAAAUUUUGAAAAGAGGAGGAGUGGAUCAAGAUGGUUCUGGGUUGUGGGUACAAAGGACUAUCCAGGAGAGUUGGUUUGAGGUCAAAACUCAAAUGCAAUAUGGUACUUGCUUUGAAAAUCAUUUGGGUUCAAAAUAAUUUUCAGAUUUGUUUUGAGAGGAAAAUAAUUAGAAUAAAAUCCAAAACUUGUUUGGAUUAGUUGGGACAGAGGACUUAGGUUGAUCACAAGGUGUAGGGGAGGUUUUGGAGGGGUUUUACCACAUGGGAACAAUGCAAAGUCAAGGGUGGUUCCAAGAUAUGAAAGUCCCCAAAUUUUCAUGGAGUUUCAUUUUAAAAGAAAACAAUUUAAACUCAAAAAUUAAAUUUGAGAGAGAACCAACAGAGAAGAAGUUUCAAAAGAUCAAACACCAAGGUUUGAAAAAAUAAAAUCCUUGCCAAAGCAAAGGAAGUUUUUAAGUGGAAGGUUUUUCUGAAAAGAAAAAUUUUAAAAUGGCCUCUCCUCAAAAACCACAAAGUUUUUGAUAAAAACCAAAUAAAAAAAUUUGGAGUGUCACAGGGCCUUGAUAAACGAAGGUGAAUACUACUGCUAGUGCUGCAAAUAUGAACAGGACAGGAUUGUGUGCUGCCACAUACUCAAAAUAAUGGAGAUGCACGCGGUCACGCAAUUGCCCCGGCACUUCAUACGAUGGCGAUGCACUUGGGACGUUGAUGAUGUGUUGGGGCCACAAACAUCAAAUGCAGUUUUGGCUCUACAUGAUGAUAGACCAGAGGCAACCAUGGACUCCGUGAGGCAUGCUGUAUUGACCAAGAACAAUGCUGAACUAAUAGAUGAAGCAUGCAAGAGCGAUGACACAACAAGGCUGGUAGAAAAGCACACAGCUUGAUGAGAUCAAGAAGAGGAAGGCUGAAUAAGCCUUACACAGGUUCUCUCACACUUCAAGUGUGCCUUCGUCCACAGGUCCGUCCUCUGAAAACUCAGAUGUAGGGUCUGGAACAGCAAGCACACAAACUCAGGUCAGGAACCCGCCCCGUUCCAUCACAAAAGGGCGUCCAAAAGAGGUGAGAUACAAAUCAGGGAUACCAAAGAAAGGAAUAGGAAAUUUGUAAGCAGUUGUGGAGGAUUAUAGCUUUGGUGUUGGUGAAAAUUUUGCAAUGUAGAUGAUUAAGCUUUAAAAAUGCGAGAAUGACUGUUGGUGGACAACAGAAAUUGACAAAAAUGGCAUGUAUGCAGAAUUGAAUAUGCCACGUAGUUGCUACUGUAAUAUGCCAUGCAGCUCCUACUGAAUCUGCCAUAUACUUGCUACUAAAUCUUCCAUCGCGUAUAUUUCUAUUUUUAGUCCACGCAUUCUUUUGGACAUAGUAAAAAAAUAGUUGCCACGCAUAUUGUAUUGUAUACAUACUAUGUAGGAACUAAUUGAAUUGGUUACGUUCGAAUCACGGGAGAGAACAACUGCCAUCAAAGUUGUGUUGAAAUUAACGUGCAAUAGGUGCCACAUAUGCAAACUUAUGAACUACCAUGCUAACUAAUACACUUAGCACUGCAAAAUCCCAAAAAGAAAUGAAAUGAUUACUUGCACUUAUCGUGCGUGAUCAACUAUAUUUGCCAUGUUUCAAGCAUCGCAGACGCCAAGUCGGGUAAAGUAAGGUUACCACGAGGAGAAAAUAGCAAAAAGUGUCAAACUAUAUAUUCCCCAGUAGAAAAAUAACUAGACAUACUGGGCCGUCCACAGUUUUACACAUUUUUGAAUGUAGUAAAAAGAUGACAAAUGGAAACACAAAAUUAUUUGAAAAAAAGAGUUUCAAACCAUCUGCCAAAUCCCCUCGUAAAGAAAAAAUGUAAGACAAAAAUCAAGCAUGUGAUAGGAGAAUUUCAAAACCACAUUUCAGACAAGCACACAAACUAGCAUUCAAACUGCCAAUUCAUACUCACAUUCACAAACACAUAAUAAUAGUGAACAUAGAAGUUGUUCUUGUCACACCUAAACAGGUUCAGGUCCACACUUAUAUUACAAAGCUUAGACAGCACAUACACACCACCACUAUAUACCACAGCUACAUGGAAUGAAGUCAGCACACGGACAUAGUUUCGAAGAACGAGGUGAUACCUUACAUUCCUCAGCCAAAAAAUUUAAGGUAGGCAUGUGUAUGGAGCAUCACGUGAUCACUUGUACUUCUUGUUCGUGGCUUUAACAGCUCCCUCUAUGAAUUAUCGAGCUGAAGCCCGCUUGUUGGAAUCUUCAUUCAUCAACCAGUUCCAUGUAUAUAUUUUACGGAGCUCGACGACCAUUGCAGGUGUGAUCACAGGGACCCCCGUCGACCUUCCCACUUUUCAAGGUAUUCCAACAUGUAAAACCCGCAGUCAUGCCUAGAAUGAAACAAACAGGUGAACACAUGCCAACUGAAACAUGAUAAAACUUUGAUGAAGAAAUGAAAAGGGUAAAAAUUGAGGUAGAAAACACAUGAAAAGAUAGUAAUUACCUAUUUUCUUGCUUCUCAGUCGUAAUGUACUCGAUUGGAAAAUGACUAAUCUGGACCUUUGAGUUUUUUUAAUGACGGUUCCAGGUCUCUUUGGGGUUGUUGAUAAAGAAUUCAGCAUGAGCAGUAAGUUCUUCGUCAUCUCCUGAACGGACUGAAUCAAGCACCUCAAAACGUUGGUUCUUCAAGUCAAGGCAAAUGGCAUAGUGGUGACCACACUUGUCAUUUGGGUCAUCUGGUGCAAGCAGCUGGAACAUGGGGAACAUGAUCUGCAAAUAAAAAAGAGAAAAGAAAAAAAGAGUUGACAUCAAAAUAGAUUGAUGUAGUUGCAAAAAUGUUAUGUAGUAAUAUUGCCAUUUGCAAUAAUGGACACAUGUAAGCAAGAAUCAAAAUGGCAAAGUGGACACAUGGAAAAAGGGUUCAGUUGCCAUGUGUAAUUGUCAAGAGUUGCCAUCCAUGUUUAAACAAAGUUGCCCAAUAUUUGAAGUGAAGUUGCCACAUGAGUUCCAUUAAAGUUGUCACUUCCUUACCAUGGCAGUUGUUGCCACAUGAAACAGCUGCCACGAAAAGAAUGUAGCCCGCAUAUCGAAAAUAACUAUGGACAAACAUAGCAUGACAAAAAAUAAAACAUCUACAAUGAGAAGAAACACUCACAUAUUGUUUCAGUGGGAGCUUGAAAUCACCAUGCCCGGCAAAAAAAUUCCUCAGGAUCUGAUGGUGGAAGUCACCAUCCCAUAUUUUGCAGGUCACGAUGUACUGCAUGAUCAUCUUGUCGGGACAAAUGUCCACAUGCAUGUUGAUGAAGUCAAUCCCACACGCAACUACAUUCUUUGACAAUUUACCAGUAGGCUUCACAGACUCGACAAGAUCACCCAGGUCAACGUAUGUCGCAUCACAUUGAAUGAUUUUGGUUCUGUCCAAACAUGAGCUGUAUGAAAAUGAUGUAACAUGAAAGAAGCAUGCCUACUAAAAAAAUAUAAAUAAAAAUAAACAACGCAUGGCUAAAAGGGCGAAAAAAAUCAGGAAAAAGUAGGUAAGGGGUUAUGUGGUGUGGACAUUACUUUUUCAGCUCCUUCAUGUGUUUGCAGCUCGACCUCGCAUUUCUGAAACGCUUGACAAUGUCGUAUAGUUGGGUAUGCUCCUUUGUAGCUUUAACAUAGGGCUCAAAGUCAUCAGAUGGUGGUGCAUGAACUACCCUCGUCUGCCUCACAGAGCCAGGGGUUGCACUUCUAACGGUAUCCUCGGAUACUUGCUCAGCAGGCACGUCAGAACUUGAUUGCCCCUAAUUCCAUGAUGACCUCCUGUUUAAUGCUCCUGCUCAGUCCUACAGUAAGCUUCAUCGAGGGACGGUGAAAUCUCCUCAGGGGUGGCUAAAAGAAGCAAACAGGGGAAUAAGAAAGUUGGAGAUAGCAAUUUAUUGUGCAAAAAGUUCAAACUGUGGACUGUAAAUGCUGAUAGGAAAGUAACAAUUUGAAAUAUCACUUCGUAAACGAAGUUUGCCAUGUGAAAAGUGCACUACAUUUGCCAUGUGCAAUGCACUAUAGUUACCAUGUGACAAAAACUAUAGUUGUCAUAUGUGAUGCACUUCAGUUGCCAUGUGCAAUGCAUUCCAGUUGCUAUGUGACAGCAACUGCAUUUGCCAUGUGAAACAAACUACAGUCUCCAUGUGGUCAAAAAGUGGUUUAUCCCUGCCAAAUAUAAACAAUGGUUGUCAUCUCAGGAUAAAAAUCAGUUGCCAUGUUAUAUGAACAACAACUACCAAAUUAGGUAAGCUGCAAAUGCCAUCUACAUGUACAUCCCGUAAGAUUUGCCAUCGCAAUUCAAAAACUAAAGCUUACGACGAAGGUCAGACAAAAUAUGUAGAAAUGAAAGAUAAACACAAAAAAGUUUACCUUGCACUAUAGGCUCUGCAAACUUCACAGCCUUCCUGCCAUCAGCUAGGGGUUGCGCCAUCAUCGGGACCAUGCCUGCCGAGAAAGUAAAGGCAAUAGGCAUAGGAUCAUGCACUAGUUCAUCCUGAGUGUAAUCGAUACCAACUCUGCAGUUUGGUGGGGUGAAAACCAUGGGGUGCCUCUCCUGCUGAUCAGCCAGUUUGCAAACAAAAUGUUUAGCAGAAUCUAGAGGUGAUAGAUCAACAAACAUGUCAGUCUCCUCUGCUGCAGAAUCAUCACGCUUAUUAGUAGGACGGCGCGUGCUGUCCGCGAUCUCAAUCACGGUCUUAUUUCCUAUCUUCUUGUUUGGACUGUACGGGACACCAAUGUUGACAGGGAGCUUAGAAGUGCGCAGAUUUAAACUAGUGUUCUCCACAGCAGUAAAGGACGCCGUCUGCUCUGAACGUCCACCUCCUUCAGUGGUACACUGCUUACCACCUAUAUCUGUUGUAUUGCAGACUUCCAUCUUCUCGAUUGCAUUGCUUUUGGCAGCAUGUGGGAAUAGUGUGGAAGCAGACACAUAACCAAAGUCACCUCUGCUGCUCUUAACUACCUCUGGUGCGUUGGAUAACUGUGCAGGAUUCUUGCGGUGGCUAUGCCUAGGAGGCAGGCCAGCUCGCACCACGGUUGUAGUAGCAGCCUGUGCGCCAACAGCCCGCUGAAGCUGUUGUGCGGUGAGACUCGUGUGUGGAUGUCCUGCCAUAUUGAAAUAUGGCCGCCGCCCCUUCUUUCAUGGACACAUAAGUGCCACCGGCCGCACUCUUGGAAUCCGUAUCAGAUGAGCGGGAAUCUUCCUUGUUUAGGUUGAGCUCACAAGCAUCCACUUCAACACUUGCUGAUCGGGUUGCAUGGGUCACAACAGCAUCUCUCAUUGCCACCAGGGUAGGAAAUAUCUUAGCAGUCCUGGCAGAUACUGACUCGUCGCUCCCAGAUGUACGGAUGCAUGUGGUUGUAGUCUGCACAUCUGCAACCGGCGGAGAUGGGAGGCCGCUUGCAUCAAAACUAGCGGCAACAGUGGACAGUGCGACGGCAGAUUUCUCAAUUGUCAGCUCAUGAAUAUCUGCAUUAUCAGAUGUCGACAACUUGGAGUGAAUGCUCUCAAGUGGGUCUUUAGUAGUGCAAUUUGUCGAGCGUGCAGUAGUCUUCUUUACCCUACAAAAAUGUGUCGAACGAUAAGACAACCAUUAAAGAAAGCACUUCAUGAGAAAAAAUGUGAGGGCAUGAAUAAAAUAAUUGCCAUGUCAGACAUCAUAAAAUGCCAUGUGUGAUAUGCUAGAGUUGCCAUUUCAAAAUAGAGUAGGGAUUAAAAAUAUGUUGUAUAAGUGGGUGCCAGUUGCCAUGUGUAAGUGAGUGAAAGCUACCAGUUGCCAUGGCAGGGAAACUGGAGUUACCAUUUGGUUUAGUAAGCAGUUGGCAGGGAAACAAGAGUUGCCGUAUAAGUGAGUGAAAGCUACCAGUUGCCAUGGGAGGGAAACGAGAGUUUCCAUGUGGUCUAGUAAGCAGUUUCCAUGCCGAGGAAGCAAGGGUUGUCGUGUAUCAAGUUUAUCAGUUGCCAUGUGGGACACAUAAGAGUUGCCAUGUCGCAACUGUAGCAGUUGCCACGAGGGGCAGACAAUUUUUUCCAUGUUGGGUAUAGUAAAAGUUGCAUAUGAUUGAGGAAUGCAUCAAACAAAUUUAGUGUUAGGACUGUGAAUAACUUGUCAUACUCAACAUGCUGCAAUUGCCAUGAAAAAUUUCAAAAGGGAAUGCAUUUCCGUAUCACGACACAACGAAAAUAUCUCAAUCACAAAAAAAUAGAAAAACUAAAGGGAGAACUCACCUCUUGCUUGUUUUCCUCAAGUCUUCCAGCACAACAGGAUCCCCGGUUUUGGACGUCGAUGUGCGAGGAGACGACCUAGUGGAAGUGGUGGCACCAGCAGUGGGUGCCCCCUUGUUCAGACGGGUAGAAACGCGGGUUGGCGUGCGUGCUUUCUUCUACUUAACUAAUUGUCCACCAGUUGUCGCCUCACUACACAUAAAAAAAUGGGGGAAAGGAGCAAAAAAAACCAAGUGUGAGACACAAAAUCAUGGCGUGCGUAGCAAAGGAAAAAAGUCGGGUUGUUAAAAAGGAAGAACGAAAAAAACAAUAAAGAACAUCCACUACUAGGGAAAACCUUAUACACAGCAUCUUAGCAGUAGCACUGGACAAAAUCAUCUGCUACUGCUACUUAGUAGUAGCGCAUGUAAAUAAACCGCACUACUGUUAUCAUUUUAGCAGUAGCGCGUACUAGCAAAAGCGCUGCUGCUAUGUUUGAACUGGGCGCACAUGGCUACCCCCACUUAGCAGUAGCGCGUAUCCUCGCCCAGUGCUACUGUUAUGCUCCUUAGUUGUAGCGCUUUUCUCGAACCCGCGCUACUACUAACCAUACCUUAUCCUCCCCACGCGGCCGACCCUAUCAUUCCCUCUCCCUCUCAGUCACUCUCGCCCACGCAGAUACCCAUCGUCCGUCAUUGCCGUCGUCGUCCGUCCACCACCGAGGUACUCCCUCAUUCCCUCCCUCCUCCUCCCACUACGCCCUCCUCCUUCCUCCUCCCACCGCGCCCUCCUCCCUCCACCUCCGGUCGCCCCUCCUCCCUCCUCCUCCGGCCGCCCCCUCCUCCCACCUCCUCCGGCCGCNNNNNNNNNNNNNNNNNNNNNNNNNNNNNNNNNNNNNNNNNNNNNNNNNNNNNNNNNNNNNNNNNNNNNNNNNNNNNNNNNNNNNNNNNNNNNNNNNNNNNNNNNNNNNNNNNNNNNNNNNNNNNNNNNNNNNNNNNNNNNNNNNNNNNNNNNNNNNNNNNNNNNNNNNNNNNNNNNNNNNNNNNNNNNNNNNNNNNNNNNNNNNNNNNNNNNNNNNNNNNNNNNNNNNNNNNNNNNNNNNNNNNNNNNNNNNNNNNNNNNNNNNNNNNNNNNNNNNNNNNNNNNNNNNNNNNNNNAGAAAUUUAGGGUAGAACUAGGGUAGUAGAAUUUUUAGCAAGUGUUUAACAGAAAUAGUUUAUUUAGUAAGUGAUUAAUAUAACUAGUUUAUUUAUAUUAAGUGCUUAAUAAAACUAGUUUAUUUAGUAAGUGCUUAAUAGAACUAGUUAAUUUAUAGUAAGUGCUUAAUAGAACUAGUUUAUUUAGUAAGUACUUAAUAAAACUAGUUUAUUUAGUAAGUGCUUAAUAAAACUAGUUUAGAGAGAGACCUAUAUUGGCAAAUUUAGUUAUGUUAGGAUUAUAUAUAAGAUAUUUUGAAAUGUUUUUGUUCAUAUUUUCAACCAUUGAAAUGCAAUGACCAUCGAUAAGUGGCCUAUGUUUUGCCGGAGUGUUGAUUAAUUUCCGUUCCGGCAAAUUACAGGCACUCGAUAUGUCCUUUUUUAGCAAAGGUCAUGCCGGAUUUUUUGGGUUUUGCCGUCGAAUUAUAAUCUUUGAAUUUUGAACAUAGGAGAUGUCUGAUGACGAUGGGAUCCUGGAGUGCGGGUACUGCUACGAUGACCGGGGUUUGUGCGACAGGUUUCCUCACCUGCAAAAUGAUAGGUUUUUCACCGUGAAGCUGGAAGAGACCUUUGAUGUUUGUACGGUAUGCAACGACAAGCAUUUCAUCGUAAUUAAUACCAUCACUUGUGCUUCUUUUGUUCAACGUGUAAUUUAUGGAUUUUUUUUUCAAUUCAAUUAGUACAUCUCAUGCCAUGAUAGACCAUAUGUAUUGGAGAAGCUUGGUUUUGGUUUAGAUGACUUUGAGAAUGUGGAGACGAGGAGGGCUCACUUAAGAACUAAACAUGGUUAUGAGUUUCUGGUUAAGCUGUACAAUGCGGUCGAUCGCUCCCAUUUCGGUUGCUCUAAUUGGGAAGCUAUCUGCAAAGCAUAUGGAUUUGAGGAGGGAAUACAAAUAAGAUUUGAUAUUCGUCCUGAAGAUUAUGAUGAUGAUGAUAAUAUCGACAUCUGGGUGGAUGUGGAUAUGCCUCCAGUUUUGCCUAGAUGUUAGUUUGUCAAAGUUAAGUUCAGUAAUUUAUGUUGUUAAUUUAAAAAUAUUUGGUGUUCGUCGGUACUAAACUUAUUUAUUUAUAGUUUUCAGCUUAUUUCUUAUCUUCAAGAAAUACUUGGAAGGUAGUUGACAUCACAUACUACAGCUAUGACUCCAAGCUUAAUUGUGUGGAGAAGGGUUAUCUUGUCUCAUUCAUAGAAGAUGUUGAGGCCUUCAAAACCAGUCACUCUGUCAGCCCAAAUUAUACUAGAUACAUGCCACUAGUCCAUAAAGUGCUUGAUGGUAACUUCAUUGCCAAAAACUUGGUAAGAUUUUGUUAAUGAUGGUAACUUCAUUGCAUACAUUAUUCUUAUGUAAACUACAUUGCUAACUAUAUAUGUUACUAUUACGUUUUCGAACAGAGGCUCCCGAAGUAGGUUGUGCCGGACAUGCUAUUUAUCGAAGGUGAUAUGCAUAUGGUUAGCUUACGACCAACUCCUUCGAAGGCUUACCAUACUGCAUACUCGAUUUCUUCAAAUGAUAGAAGUCUCAAAAUCAAAGAAUGGAGCAAAAUGAUGAAUGCGCACACGCAAAUAAUUGGAGACAAAAUGAAUGUGCGCAAGCCACAAGUUGGAGAUAGGUUUAUGUCCAUUCUCCAUUAUGGAGAAGGACCGGUUUAUUUGUUUUAUGGUAUUUUACCUAGGAGAGAGGAGUAGGUCCUAAGUAUUAAGAAUAAUUAGUUAGUGUUGAUUAUAUAUGACUAUGAUGAUGAUGAGAAGCUUUUAUUAUGUGCUACAAUGUCUUAGACUUGAUGGUGAUGUUGAGUAGGAGUAGUGAUUAUGAGUACUAUGAUGAUGAGGAGGAGGAGUUUUUAUUAUAACUAGUGACCAAGUUGUUAUAUGAUGUCUCAUGGACGAAAAUGAUGAGGAGGAGGAGGAGUUAUAUGACAAUGAUAUAUUAUGAUGAUAAGUUGUUAAUGAUAUUAUGAUGAUGAUGAUGAUGAUGAUGAUGAUAAGUUAUUAUGUCAUUGGGUGAAAGAACCGCGGAUUAGUUUCAAAUGGAUGGAUCCAAAGUGACCAUUGGCUACUUUGGAUCCAUGCACUUGAAACUAAUCCACGGUUCUUUCACCUAGUGAUUUAAUAACUCAUUAUAAUGUAAAAGCAAUCUCUAAAUUGCUACUGUAUGAAAAAUUGUAUAAAGGUGUAUGAAUACAACCUAAAAUUUAAAAGAAACAAAAUACGGAAUAAUGGUAGUAGCGCGGGCGGAGAGAAGCGCUACUAGUAAUUACCAGUAGCGGUUACUCGAGAAAGCGCUACUACUUUGUAGAUAUAGCAGUAGCGCGUGCCAGCAAGCGCUACUGCUAAGCUUUAGCUGUAGCACCGUAUCAGUAGCGCGCUUGCCCGUGCUACUGAUAGGCCAAAAACCAGCGCUACUACUAGGCUUUUCCCUAGUAGUGAUCGAACCUCCUCCUAGCAGCAACAUGAUCGGUCCUACUCCUCUUGCCAGCAGGUCCCUGGGCAGUAUCCUCUAGAGCCCUACCCCUCUUUGAGAGAGGAACCCCCGUGUCUCUCGCAACAGUUGGAGCAAUGCCUCCCUCUAGUGGAGGAACAUUCGGUGCAGCCUUAUCGUUGUUACCUCCUACGCGAACUUCCUGAUGUUUGUCAUGGUCAGUGUCAUUACGCACAUUCUCCAUGUCAUCGUCACCAUCCUUGUCAAGAUUAGCAUCCACGCCACCGAAACCAUCCCCGCCUAGCUCCUCUUGCGUUUUAGGGAGCUCUUGAGAGUUGUUGUAGUCGUACCGACCACGACAGCUAGUUGGUCGAUGUGUCCAUUCUCCGACAAAGUAUGUGAACUAUCUCGCAACCACGUCUCUAUCAGAACCAUUCAAUGUUGUCCAACCCUCGACCAACAUCCCAAGCAAGUUGGUCAUGCCAGAAGCAACCUGCCCGACCAGGUAAUGAACAGGUGCCCUGGCUGAUGAGAAAACAAAAUGUAGCAAGUUACAAACACAUUAGAAACAUGUGCAUAAGAAAAGAAGGCAAAAAGCUAUAAACAGAAGUCAAAUGCAAGAAUAUCAUUCAAAAAACAAAAAAAAACAUGCUUCAUUACCUCGGCGGAACAAGAUGGAGCUGAAUGCACGUCCAUCCACUUGCCGAAAUUUUGUGGCCCGCCAAACACACUGUAGUCUAUGGCAUGCUUGGCAAUCCGCUGAAAAAGAGGUAAAAAAGAAGCAGUGAAUAUGGGCGUGGAUUGAAAGGAAAAGGUAUUCGAGGGGCAACGGCAAAGUUGCCAUAUGGAGACAACCAUGGUUGCCAUGUGCAGACAACCAUGGUUGCCAAGUUCUUUAUGAAUUGUUAGCCAUAAUAAAAAUGGUGAGGUGGUCGAAUGGAAUGUGCAGACAAAGUUGAGUGCACAAAUUAGAAUAUGGAUGCCAAAUAAAGUAUUGUGCAUUUUCCACGCAGAACCGAACGUAUUUGCCAUGUUGUAUAUGCUAUAUAUUCCCCUCUUCAAAAAGAAAAACUAUGAACAACCAAUAUGGAUCAGUUGUGGUUUAUUCAUAUUAUUUCCAUCAGUGUUUUUCAAGAGUGUUGUGCAAGAAAGAAGUCAAACUAACCUAUAGUUUCCCAUAUUUUGUAUCACAAAUCUUGUCUGCGGCAAGCACAGCCUUGACAGCAUCAUAACUCCAGGCAGAAACAACAAACUUAUGUGGAGGCAGCGGACCUCCUAUCUCAGUGAAGUCAACAGUGGAUAAAUCAAGAUUAUCGACGUACAUGAGUUGGUUUACACAAUAAAGCGAGUAAGAAAAUCAGAAUAUGUCAGUGAUCGGUAUUGUGCAAAAAAAGAAAACAGAUAAAGAUGCGGCGAAAAAGGAAAGGAAAAUAACUACAUUUUAAACGUCGUUGGCAAUACAGUCUCCCUUGAGUCACAAGUUCAAAAGAAAGAAGAAAGAUUUGCCAUGGGCGUGAACGUAUGUUUUCCAUGAUUGACUAAUUAAAACAAAUGAAAAAAAGUAGAGGAAGUGAACACUAUGUGUGUUGUAGAAAAGGGCAAUUGCCAUGUAGACAGCAACUGCAGUUGCCAUGUAUCAGCAACUUCACUUUGACAUGUGAAAAACACAAAAAAUGAAAUUUGCCGUACACGAUCAACUAUGGUUGUCAUCGAGAAAGCAAAAAUCAGUUAAAGCUCUAUCAAACUAGGGUUGACAGAGUAUGGCCAAACAGAGAUGCCACGUGCAAAACAAUUAGGUUGCCACUUAUGAACAACUGUAAAAGUGAUUGAGGAAAGAAUGAACCAUGGUAAGAGCAUACCAUUAGUUGCAGGCGGCAGCCCUUCUGGUACAUCUUAUUUGAGAAUGCAUCAUGCAGGAAGUCGGCAAUGAAUUUACACCAAUUCAUGUUUUUAACAUCUUUCAGUUUCGCCUGCACAAAAGAAUUCAGGACAAAAGAUGCCACAUCGAUGGUCAAUAAAAACAUCAAACUGGCAGUGACUAGCUUCUACAUGACAUCAAAAACAGAAGAUUAUAGGAAAAAGAAUGUAGAGAGAGCAUUCACUAGGAUAGGGAAGCACUUGUUGCUUGGGCGCAGCGAUGUGGUAGGCUCAAAGAAUACGAGAUCAAGUACAUCAGCAACUUCAUCUUAAAUACCUUAUCAUGGGUUGUCAUGCCCUCCAACGAAGUUGCCAGCACAGUCGUAUUAGGCAUGGAUGCAGAGCGGCCCUGUGGGGGGCAGGAGGAGGCCGCCCCGGGCUCCCAAAAUCAAGGGGGGCCCAAGAUGUAUGUACGUACCCUAUAGGCCUAUGGCCCAUACAGGCACGCGCGCGCCAGGGAGCAGCAGGCCAGCAGCCCGAUCUCCCCGAUCCCAGCAAUCGAGUGUUUUGAGCGAUCGCUUCCAAAUGCAUUGUCAACAGGAUGAGGGAUUUUCUCCAUGAAAUAAUAGGUGAGGAGCAAAGUUCAUUUGUGCCCGGGCGUCUCAUCACGGAUAAUGUUCUUAUUGCACACGAAAGUGUUCACGCAAUGAAGAAGAGGAAGAAGGGAAAGAAUUGGGUUUGUGCAGUCAAAUUAGACAUGAUGAAAGCAUAUGACCGUGUUGAAUGGCAUUAUCUCGAAGCUAUCAUGACUAAAUUGGGAUUCAGCUCAAUAUUUAUCCGACUGAUUAUGAAAUGUGUUUCGUCGGUUCGGUUUGCAGUACGUGUGAAUGGUGAGUUACUGCCUUUUUUUACCCCAUCUAGAGGUUUUAGGCAAGGAGAUCCCGUUUCACCGUAUCUUUUUCAUCUGUGCGCGGAGGGCUUCACAACUCUGUUGAACAACUUUGAUGGAGUCCAUGCGGACAAAGGAAUCUGAGUAUGCACCCAGUCACCAUGGAUUAAUCAUCUACUGUUUGCGGACGACAGCCUUAUCUUUAUGCAAGCAAAACUGGAGAGUGUGACGAGGUUGAAUAACAUCUUGAGGAUAUAUGGCGAUUGUUCGGGCCAAUGCGUGAACAGAGACAAGAGCUCUAUUUUUUCAGUCCAAACACAACACAUCCGGUGAGAGUUAUGCUGAAAGGUGCCACGGGCAUUGGGGUAGAGGCAUUCAAUGAAAGAUAUCUGGGUCUUCCCACUACAGUUGGACGAAUUACAUCUGGUACCUUUGACUUCAUUGGUGAGAGAGUGAGGUCACAACUGAAUGGUGGUACAGAACAUUUGGUGUCUUGUGCAGCGAGGGAGAUAUUAAUCAAGUCAAAGGCUCAGGCAGUCCCGGCAUACACUAUGGGUUGCUUCAAGCUCACAAAAAAAGUGUAUAAGAACAUCUCCUCACCGAUGGCAAAGUUCUGGUGGAGUAGCUUGAUUGACCGAAAUUCCAUGCACUGGAUAGAUUGGAAGUCUUCGUCGCUUCCAAAAAUAAGAGGAGGAAUGGGGUUUCGAGAUUUGGAAUGCUUCAAUGUUGCGUUGUUGGGAAAACAGGGAUGGCGGCUGAUUACAAACCCGCAUGGUCUAUGUUCCAGAGUGCUAAAAGGAAGAUAUUUCCCGACGACUGAUUUUAUGCAUGCUAUUGUUCCGCGCAACGCUUCGGCUACCUGGCGGGCGAUAGUGGCUGGGAGAGGAGCAUUGGAGGCUGGGCUGUUGAGGAGGAUCGGGGACGGUUCCUCCGUAAGAAUCUGGGAAGAUAGAUGGCUGCCAGGGAGAUUAUCACUUCGACCAAUGGAGCAGAUUGGUUCUGCUACACUCUACACAGUGGCAGAUUUGAUUGACAAUGAGAGCUGGUCCUGGAAAGCUGAUCUAGUCAGGAAUAACUUCAUACCCCCAGAAGCUGAUGCAAUUCUCAAUAUUCCUCUCAGACAUGGUGGUGGUGAUGAUUUCUGGGCUUGGGAUCAUGAGAGGUCGGGUUCCUACACUGUAAAAUCCGCGUAUCGUGCUCUAAUGACUCAUAACGAGCAGUUAGCUCUAGAGGAAGGGACGAUUACAGGAUCUUCAGAGAACAAUAAGCAGGUGUGGACGCGACUAUGGAAACUAAAAGUGCUGCCCAAGGUCCGUGUGUUCUGGUGGCGAGUCCUUCGGGGCAUACUACCGGUGGAGACAACACUACAACACAGGCAUAUAGCAACCUUAGCGCGAUGCAAGGUCUGCAAAGGUAUGGAUGAAGAUAUGCUUCAUGCAUUGAUGAAGUGCUCUCAUGCGCAAAGCUUUUGGGCAGAAGCGAGAAGUUGGCUGCACCUCAAGUUGCCGGAGCUACACCCUUGUACGUGGUGCAAGGAUAUCCUCUGUGAUCCACGUUUUACUGAGGCAGACAGGGCUAAAAUAGUUACUGUCAUGUGGGCGAUCUAGACAUCACGAAACAGCAUAACACAUGAUAGAGUGAGUAUGGACCCGGUCCAAUCCAUGAAGCGUAUAAGAGAAACACUGUCUCUAUUGGAACUCCCAUUGGAGCAGACCAAGACACUGCCUGGGUAUGGAUGGAGACCGCCUGAAGUUGACUGGGUAAAAAUCAAUACGGAUGCUAGUAUUUCAGUGAUUGAGCACAAGAGUGGAAUAGGAGGUUUAGCUAGAUCUCCUUCUUCAUUUGUUGCUGCCUGGAGUAAGCCUUACCCCGAUGUUACAGAUCCUCUUAUUGCAGAAGCGUUGGCGUUACGAGAUGGGGUAAUAUUUGCAAAGCUCCGGGGGUUCUCGCGAGUGGCUAUGGAAACAGAUUGCUUGGAGAUGGUCAAGCUUGGCACUCGCGACGCUUUUCGUGCUCUAUUGUAGCGCCGUUACUUUUAGAAAUUGAUGAGCUAGCCUUAUCCUUUCUUUCCUUUGAUAUUCAACAUGUAAUAAGAAAUGCCAACCUGCCGGCCCACUUGUGUGCGAAACAUGCAAGCACACUUGGGGUAACCGACUGUUGGAUGGACUACCCGCCCGGCUUCCUCAUGACCAGCAUGAUGGCUGAUCGUGUUGGUGCCAUUGUUGUUGAAUAAAGCUCAUAGUUUCCCGCAAAAAAAAGGUAUUUCCUUUCACGUAAGAAGAAAGCGAUCAAUAAGCGGCUUGGACUAUUCCCUUCCUGUUCUGUUCGACUCUUUCAUCAUGCGGAGUCACGCAACGCCCAGGUCCCAGCCGUAGCUGCUGUCCGUCAACGCCGCCGUACACGCACGCUGCACGCACGCACUCCCACCUCGCCGCCGCGUGGUAAUUUCCUUUGUAAUCUGUAUAUGUUCGCCAUUGAUUUCAAUUCCGGGGCCCCUUUGGCAUUUUCUCAAUUGUUCUCUUCUCAAUCCUUUGCAAACUCUAGGCGCUGUGCAAUCCCCUGUGUAUUGUAUUGUAUACACGCACGCACUAAAGUUUGACCAUCACUCCAUCACGUAUUGAGGUAUAUUCAUAUAAUACUGAUACAAGAAAAUUCCUUUGAUGCAUAGCUGGCAAUGUUCAACAAUUGAUAGAACAAUUUUUUUUAUUUUCAGCAUUGUGUAUGUGUUAUUAUGAAGUCCUCCUGUAAGAGGAAUUAUCCAUCAGGUAGCAGCAAAAGGAAAAAAGAAGAAGGAAGUGGAGAAAUUGACACACACACAACGCUGGUGUUUAAAGAUAUAUUCGGAUUUUUAUUGAGCUCGGGCACUCUGAAGUCAUUAAGUGCCCAUGAACUUCGAAGAAUGUUGCACAACAUUUGCAGAAACUUUCUCUCUUAAUGAUUCAUCUCAUGUUGAGGUAUACGAUCUUAUUUCUAAAUUGCAGAUUAUGAAAUUAACUUUGCCAGAUGGCGUAAUGUCUGCUAUGGAGAUUUUCGGGCAUGUGAGGGAAGUCAACUGCUAUCAUAAUAUCUCUAUUGCCUAUCACAUCUUAUUUAUUGUGCAUGUGACGGUCGCAUCGGCGGAAAGAAGCUUUUCGAAGUUGAAAUUGUUAAAGAAUUAUUUGAGGUCAACAAUGACUCAAGAGAGGUUAAAUGGUCUAGCUACACUAUGCGUCGAGAAGAAAUUAUUGGAUGAGAGUGACAUCGACCCCAUCAUAAGCGACUUUGCAUCGAGGAAUGUUAGAAGAAAUUUUUAAGGUAAUAUGUAUAAAUUAUUUGAUAUGCGUACUGAUUUUAGAGUGAAGUGUUACUGAUAGUAAUUUAUAUAUAAACUAUUUUUUAGAUAAAUUUUUAUAUAUAUUUAUAUUAUAAUGACUUGUAUAUUAAGGGCCCCCAAUUUUUAGUUCGCCCCGGGCCCCUGAAAUCUCAGGACCGGCCCUGCAUGGAUGCCAUUCUAGGAAACAAACGGGCGAACAAAACUUCCUCAAUCUUAUUGUUCACCUCAUACGAGACUUUGAUUUCUCCACGGGGGACACCCAAAGUGCAUAACACAAAUUCCUCGUCCAAAGGGAGUCUUCCACGUCCCGGAAUGAUGAAUUCCCUAGACGCAUGAUCGUAUAUCUCACCGAGCCAGUCGCAUACAGGGUUCACUAGAUUCGUGCAUCGAACAUCCAUCAAUGCAUGCAUCCCCAUCUCAAUGGCAUCUCUCUUCUAGUCAUCGGUAAAACCCUUGGUCAAUAUAUUCAAGCGUUCUUGCGAAGCCCUAUUGCGCUGACGUUUCUUCUUCUGCAGAACACAAAAGGGUCAUUGUUUGCCAUGUUCAAUGUAAUAGAAAUUAGUUCUGACGAAUGAAUGUAAACUCGGUAUCACAAUAAAAACAGAGGGGGGAAAGUGACCUCGUCGCCGUCUUUUGUAUGACCGGUCGCACGAUUCCGUGGCGGUACCUGCAUGAAGUCAUCGUCAUCAUCUUGCUGGUCACCACGAGCCAUUGAGCUACGAUAAGAACAAAAAACAUGUUAGAAUAAAUGAAAACACAAACGACAGAUGCAGAAAGAGAUGCAGAAGUAACGAGGCAGUUGAUAUCAUCGACAACAAAAUGAAAACUGCCAUGUUUACCACUAAAAAGAAAUGUAUACAAUGUGUCAUAAUAGGGAGUUGCCACCUGCAAUCUGAAAAAUGCAUGGCAUAUGCUCAUAUGCAAAACUAAGCAGCUGACAAGAAAGAGUACUUGAGGAAAAGGCAUGCAAAAAUAAUGCCAUGAUGCGUAUAUGUAGUUUGCCACCUCCCUGAACACAAUUUAGCAAAAAUUGAAACGUGGAUGACUGAAUAAAUAAGCUAACUGACAAAAUUUGGGUUGAAUCAGAAGUUGCCAUGUUCUAAAAAUAUUUAUGUUGCCAUGUUUGCGCAAAAACAAAACAUGUCAAGUCUUAGUGCGUGAAUGGAGGUAAUUGCCAUCUGCUGAACAUGCACAGUAGGCGAAAAAUAACCACUGAAACAAGUGCAAAAACAUGGCAACUGAAAAAAGGUUUGCUUCAGAAAAGGGAGUUGCCAUCUAGCAGAUUGAAGUUGCCAUGUUGGCAGUAAACAAUAUGGCAACUGAGGUACCACAGUGGAACACCCAACUGCCGUUAUCCAACAUAUAAUGUGGCAACUGACACAUUGGCUUCAUAAAAAGGGAGUUGUCAUCUAGCAGAUUCAAAUUGCCAUGUUAGCAGAAAACAAAGUGGCAACUAAGGCAGCAUAGUGGAACAUCCAACUGCCAUUAUCCUACAUAGGACAUGGCAACUGACAUAGUUGAUUCAGAAAAUUAGUUGCCAUCUAGUAGGAUAGAUGUAGAUAAACAAGUGAAUUGAACUUGCCAGGACUGCCAUUAUCCCACACAUCGAAAUUUCAAGUUGCCAUGUUAGCAGAAAACAAAGUGGUAACUAAGGCAGUAUAGUGGAACACACAACUACCAUUGUACAACAAAAAAUGUGGCAACUCACACCUUGGAUUCAUGAAAAGGAGUUGUCAUCUAAUAGAUACAAGAUGCCAUGUUAGUAGUAAACGGAGUGGCAACUAAGGAAGUAUAUUGGAACACACAAACUGCCAUUAUCCUACAUAGGACAUGGCAACUGACAUGGUUGAUUCAGAAAAUUAGUUGCCAUCUAUUAGGAUAGAUAUAGAUAAACGAGUGCAUUGAAAUUGCCAUGGCUGCCAUUAUCCUACACAUCGAAAUGCACCUAACUAGAUCUAGGGUUCAAACCCAACUAUCAGUCCCUGAGUUCGACUACAACAUCGCCCAUAAAACAGUGAUAAUGACAGCUUACGAGACCAUCAAUACUAACAAAAACACAUUAGAAAUCGCUAUCACAUAGAAUUGCAGGAAUCUAAUCUCUCAUAAACAGGGAGAUAGUUGUCGAACGGGCGAGCCUCGCUGGCUUGACUACCACCGCAACAGCGACGAAACUACGCCAAUGCUGGCCUAAAUGGCACACACGCGACUCCACCGCCGACGGGACACUAGAGCACCGCGAAUCUGCCUGAAUCUCGAGAGGGCUCGGGAAGGAUGUGACCAGGGAGGAAGGGAGAGAGACUGGACCAGUAGAAAGCUUCGAGAGCCUUACCUACUCGUUGUGGCUGCUCCGGCAACGACGCUCCGGUCCGGUGAACACCAGCGACGACCGCGAAUACCCACUAUUCUUCCGCCGCCGCCGCCUCCCCCUCUCGACUGCACCUCCUAUCGAAUGAAACUGCUGUUGUGGGGGGUGGGAAGAAAUGAAGGAGGUGGGGGAGAAACUGCAGCGCCGUUGAGGGGAAAAUGGGAAGACGUGGGAGACGGUGAAUAGGAGUCGUGCGCGGCGUGCGAGCGCGACAGCAGUUCCACCGCACGUCCGACUCACAACCGCGACCACUCCGAGCGAGGAAUGGGCGUCCGGGCGAAUUGCUUAACUCCCACACACGCUCCCCUGCCUACGUGGCACACAAAAACUGCUAGAACGCGCCAAAAUUUGUGCAAUAUUGAUUGGACGAGGAUCCAUGCGUGUGGACGAGUUGCCAGACGCCCACACGUGUGGGUGUUAUCUUUUUUAUUGUUUAUUUCCCUCUGGUUUCUUAUGCUACAUGGAAGUAAAAUAUUUAUGUGUGGAAAUUGUUAUGUUUAAAUGUGCUAACACUUGGUCGUCAUAUGAUUUAUUGUUCCCAAAUAGGCCGUUAAGGAUAAUGUUAAUUUGUCCUCGGGUGCAUACUGGGUACCUGGCCAAGAAUCUAGUACCUAUCUCAACUAUGGGGCUGGUAUAAGUGAGCUACAAUAAAAUUCUGCUAAAUGUCAAUCACACUAGCAUAGUUAAAUAAUGACCGGAUGUUCUGCAUAUGGAUGAUAUUGUGAUACUUUUAUGAUUUCCUUUUUACUAAAAAUCCACGUAGAGAUUGAUCUUCUUAUAGGAAGCUAUUACAUUACUACAGAGCGACCUCCAGAAAAACGAGACGCGUCGAAACCCCUGGCUCCUCAGCGAUUUGGGCCUCUCGGCCGUCCGAUCGGUUCCCUUGAUGUGUUUUCGGCCAUCGGAUCAAGCCACCGGCAGAUCUCGUCCGUCAGAUCCAAUCCCGCCCCCCUUAGCACGUUUGACCCCGCCUGGCUCGCGCGUCAGUAACUCCUUCCGCCUGGCCGGAUCUCGCUGACCUGUGGGGUCCCGGCUGGAGGGCCCCGUCCGUCAGCGAGCGGGUGCGCGGGUGCGGCCGGUGCGGCCAGUACCGCGCGCGGGCGGUAAAUAUCCCGUGCCACCGCCGAAAUUCCCGUCCCCACCAAGGGCAUUUUAGUCAUUUCGCGUCUAGGUCAACACUUGCCGUUUUGCAAUUCGCUGCCUUCUCCCCCAAUGAGUGUAGGGUUCGAUCUGUCCUCACUCUCUUUCUUCCCCGCACGUCUCUCUCUCUCUCUCUCUCUGAGCCGCCACCGCCAGUCAUCCUCCUUGUCCGUCGCCGCCGCCAUCCAUCCGCAGCCGCGCCACCAUCCCCUCCCCGUUCCUCUUCCGCCGCGCCACCACCCCCUCCCACCUCCGCCGCGCCACCAUCCCCUCCCUGUUCCUCUCCUGCCACGCCACCAUCCCCUCCCCAUUCCUCUCCCGUGGCUGAGCCAGCCAUGGCCCGCCCUCCUCCUCCCGCAUCCCAUCUUCGUUGCCAGGCGCGCACUGCCGCCACCCUUCCUCCUUCCCUCCUACUGUCCUGAUCCACCAAGCUCAGGGUCGAGAGGCGCGCCAGAUCCAGGCGCGGCGGCUCGUUGGUGAGCGCGGUGGCGGCUAUUGAUGGGCUCGAGCUCUAGCAUGUGGGCGCGUUGGUGAGCGCGGCGGCGGCCGUGGGGGCAGCGGCGUGCUGUUGAGCACGACGGCGGCCAUGGCUGAGUGCGAGUGCCUCAUUCUUCGAUGGCUUCUGUUGUUGUCGUGGUUGAUUUGCUUGAUUACUUUCGGUUUGUCCAGGGUCUCACGUGGGAUUUCGUUGCAGGUUCUGAAGAGCCACCGGUUGUUCGGUUCGUCGAGGCUUCAACCGUCCUGCCGACUGCUGCUGCAUCGAGAGGUUGCAAGGCUUCUGGUCUGUGAGCUCUUUUUUUUCUUUCUAUCUAGCUAAUGUUUCUUAGAUUGGUUGUUAUGUGUUGGUUGUUAUGUGUGGCUUCAAUAGUUUCUUAGAUUUGUUGGCUGCUCAUAUCUGGAUAAUGUUUUUUUGGAUGCAUUAGUUGCUCGAGGCUGGAUAUGGUCGGAUUCCUUUGAUGGAUUGGUGGAUCUACUUGGAUCCUUGGUAUUUUUUGUUGUCAUAUGGGAGGCUCGGCCGCAUGUCUAGAUUCCUGCCAGUUUGUUUGUUCCUUUCUGAAUUUGUCUGCUGCUUAUGGGUUUGGCAUUGUCUGAUGUUGUUAGCUUGGUUUAAAAUAUUUUGCCACUCUCACUGUUGGUUUCGGUUAGUCCCUAGGAUUAGUUGUUGGGUUAUGUUAGGCUCAAAUGUAUGGCCAUUUGGAUUAGUAACUGAUUAUGUUAGGCUCAAAUGUAUGGCCAUUUGGAUUAGUUGCUGAUUAUGUUGGGCUCAAGCGUAUGGCCAUUUUGGAUUAGUAGCUGAUUAUGUUAGGCUCAAAUGUGAUGUGCGUUUAGGGUCAUUUUUAUUAGUACCUGACUUUUGUUCUUUGGCUUAAGGAGUAGUUGGAUGAAUCACAUGGUUGGCAUAUUGUAGGGGUUGUGGCUGUUGUGGAUGUGGUUCAGUGGAUUUAGGAAGCCAUUCUUAGGUGCUUGAUUGGAGCUUGUUAAGUAAAGGGGGUGAGAUGAUUGUGUUGAUUGAUUGAUUCAAGAUCUGCCUGGUCAUUUGUUUUUGGGAUCAUACAUCUCACACGUUGGUUUGAGGGAAUGGUGGGCCAUCAGGGGCUGGAUUUGUUUUUGUUUGAUUGGGGCUUGCAAAAGAGAGGUGCGGGGCAGGCUGUUGCUGUAUGAUAGGUUCCAAAAACUUAAUUGGUGAUUACUAAUACUAUAUUUGUUGUGGUGUAAAAAAUUGUGAUAUGGCCUAUUUCGACUUGAUUCAGAGGAUCUCAUGUGAAAGCAUGACUUGUGUGCAUCUUUAUAUAUGUCCGGGACGUCGCGGCUAGACUCAGUAGAGACAUGUUUAAUACUAGAUCCAAGACGUAUUAAUUGAACACGUUCUGACAAUCAUACAAACCAAAGCCUUGAGAUAGUACUUUAUUUCUAUGGUGUCUUUCUCAUAGUUUAUAGCAACAUUUGGUGUGUCGUAUAUAAUAUGUCUAUGAUAAUUGAGGUGCCAUCUUGAUUCUUGGAUUGCUUUGUUCUUAGGUAUGUUGGUUAGCAUCACUACUACUUUCAGAAUUCAAGGUGCAUGAUGGAUGCAAGGUUUUUUUUGCUCUGUUUUUUAUUAUAAAUAAUGGGGUUACUAAUAGUAUUCUUAGGUAUGUAACUUACUAUGACUACCUUGCUACUUGAAUAUUCACUAUGUAUUAGAUGUGAGUGAUAUAUGGUCACAUUCUUGCAUCUGAUCACGCCCUUUAUUAUUCUAUCUUUCAUGUUUUUAUCCCUGACUUUGUUUGGGUACACCUCAGCCUGCUCACUCGUCUUUCUGUUGUUGUCUUCCUGAUCCAGAUUAUGCCCAGAUCUCUGCUGCCAUCGACGCUCCAUCGACGCUCCAUCUCCGGAGUCAUCCUGGUAUUUUACUUUGCAUGCUUCUUUUCUAUGGCUCUGUCCGUUUAUGAUGUUUUCUUCUUGGAUUAAUGCUAAUCAUGUUAUGCACUUUUGCAUAUCUAGCUCCUAAUGGGAGCCACAUUGUAUUCCCCUUCCAGUGUCGUGAAUGCUCAUGGUUGUAGAUUGACAUUACUGAAGCAAGGACCUGUGUAAAUAAAUGUUACAGGUGACCACAUGUGGGUAGGAUUGUUGGUUAGGAAUUACAUAGCCUUGGUACCCCAGACCAAUAUAUUCAUUUAAUUGUUUUAAAUUUGGAUACACCAAGCAAAAUUAUAUAUGCUAGCUCAGUUGUGUAUAAUUUUUUAUAGUAGUCAGAUCCAACCUUUGUAUUUGCUUUGCUUGUUGUACUUUGGUUAGAAGCAAAUAAUGUGAUGUUGUUCUGUUGUGAUAUCCACACUGUCAAUAUCAAAGUGUACAGGUCUAUUCCUUUUUUUUUAUCAUUUUCACUUAAUUUUCCUUGUCCAGUUCAUUUUUGAAACUGAGUAUUGUAUGAGGUCCUACACGCUUCCAGCUUGCUGUAUUUGCUAAACACAUACUGCAAUGGUGGGUGAUUAGUUUAGUUUCAUAUUUAGACAAGAUAGUCUUUCUGUAUGUCAAGUAAAAUCAUGGAAAAAUUACUAAUGGGGAAGAUUGUUGUGUUUUAGGAGCAAAUGAUCAUGCCUUAAGAAUAUGCAUUUGUAGUUGUUUGAUUCUAUCAUGCUUGCUUCUCUUUUUCUACUCAGUUACACCAGGCAGAUCAAAUGAUUUUUGCCUUUGCCUUGAGUUUUAAUCGUUCUGUCGCUACCCAGCCGUUGUUAUGUUCGUUUCUCCAACCCAUGGUUGAUAACUAAGAUUUCGAAAGCAAUGGAAGAUAUAGGAGGACGUAGGGCUCCGAUAAGGGCUCCGAUGGCUCCUGCACGGCGUGAUGCCGGUUAAGGUGAUCUUGUGGUACAUCUGUUCUUCCUAUCUCCUAGGUUCAUCGUGCCUCCAUUGAUUUUGAUUUUGCCUUCAAUUCUGAUGCAGGGUAGUUGCCCAUGGUGUUCCUGCGACUGCUAUGUAGGCGGAUCUGGAGGUUGAACCUCUUUCCUCUCUGUUCGUUUGGUACAGCAGCUUGUUCUAUGUGACCACGACAGCGAUGGAGCUCUCAGUGAUGUGGAGCUCAAUGACUUUCAGGUUUGUAUUCACUGAGGCCACCAUUCUUCCUUUAUCUUAACAUGAGGCUGACUAGAGUUUUUUAUUGACAUUCUUCUAUGUAUGGUGAUACUAAAAUUCUCAUUCCAUUGGUUUGCAGGUCAGAUGUUUUAGCGCUCCUCUCCAGCCUACUGAAAUAUCAGGCGUGAAGAGAGUUGUUCAAGAGAAGAUGCCCGAAGGCGUAAAUGAUAGUUGCCUUACAUUGACUGGGUUCCUUUUCCUUCAUGCUCGGUUAUGAUAAUGAAAUCAUGCUUAGAGAUGAAUUCAUUCCAACGUCAGUCAAGCGAGCUCCUGAUCAAGUAAUGUUCUCUUGAUUACUAUCAGCUAUUCACAUUUUGUUGUCAGUUGAAGCUAGACCAAUUUUUAAGUGCACAUAUAUUUUUGCGUCAAGUUGUUCUUAUAAGGGAUUACGUGUAAGUUGAUAGUUGAUUUCAACUGUAUGGUGGGUAUAUGCAAUCCUGGCUUCAAUAUUCAUUUAUCUAUGUGUUUAAUAUUUGCCAUACCUUUGGUUUAUAAUAUUUCUUUGGUACUAAAGUCAUAUCACUAUCUUUGUUACAGAUGGUGGAAUUGACAAAUGAAGUGAUUGAUUACUUGAAAGGAAUAUUCAACAUGUUUGACAUAGAUAAUGUAAGUCUGAUGUAUUGUUUGUCACAUUUGUUUUUUAUCCUCAAUGUAAAUGUUAUUCUUGCCAUUUUCAUUCUAAAUCUUAUCCCUAAAAAACUUCUGUGUUGGAGGAAGGUCUUAAAUGCGUUUGUGACGUAGUCGUUGGUGGUGGAUUAGCAUAACCAUGUCCCUGGGAUUUAAAUUUUGGAUUAACAUUCUUCAGUGCCUAAUAAUUUCAGAACCAUUGUGGCGUUGUUGCUUGAUCCAGUUGAAGUUUUAAAUCAAUGGUCAUACUUGCAAAUAAUUUAGUUGUUGAUAAAAAUAGCACUGUAGUGAUCCUCUGGCUAUCUGAGUAUUAAACUUGAUACAUGAACUAAGUCAACUCAAAGUAGCACCUUAAUACUUGACAUGGCUGUCUGAUUUAGUCUCGCAUUGAUACUUUACUCUCCUGAAGUAUGACUCGACGCUACACAUAUUAUUUCUGCUUAAUGAUAGUGGGGAAAAAUAAUUUCUAGAGUACUAGACAGAAGUGGACUCUAUGACUGAUCCGCCAAAGAGCGGACCUGUUACUCGUGUCCAAUGCAUUUUACCAGCCGCCACGAUCGUGUUCUUUUGAAGGUAGGCCCACUUCUUCAAGCCUACUUAUUAUUUUUGUUGUUGCUAAUCUGCUUUCUUAUGGACACCUCUACCAGAUCCGCCGCCACUGCGAAGCCCAGCUCCUGAGUGCUUUAAAGGUGAGCAAGAAAGAAGAACAGGGGUGUGGUGCUUUGGUACUGAUAUUGCUUUGCAUCUGCGCUGACUAGAAAAUGUGNNNNNNNNNNNNNNNNNNNNNNNNNNNNNNNNNNNNNNNNNNNNNNNNNNNNNNNNNNNNNNNNNNNNNNNNNNNNNNNNNNNNNNNNNNNNNNNNNNNNNNNNNNNNNNNNNNNNNNNNNNNNNNNNNNNNNNNNNNNNNNNNNNNNNNNNNNNNNNNNNNNNNNNNNNNNNNNNNNNNNNNNNNNNNNNNNNNNNNNNNNNNNNNNNNNNNNNNNNNNNNNNNNNNNNNNNNNNNNNNNNNNNNNNNNNNNNNNNNNNNNNNNNNNNNNNNNNNNNNNNNNNNNNNNNNNNNNNNNNNNNNNNNNNNNNNNNNNNNNNNNNNNNNNNNNNNNNNNNNNNNNNNNNNNNNNNNNNNNNNNNNNNNNNNNUGGUUCAUGAUGAAUUCGCUCUGUAGAUGUACCAUUACUCAUAUUUCUAGCCUCUUGCAAGUCAUCAUUUUGUUAAUCACGGUUUUUUAUGAAAACUGAAACCUAUCACUUUCGGUCCAUAUGAAGCAAAAGAAAGUCUUGCAGUAUGUUGCAAUUAUAUUGUGAUGAUUGGCAGGGAAUAACUUAAGUCUUUGAAAUUUGGUACAUGUUGUCGUGCAUCGAUUCAGCCCCAUUGUGCCAUCAGAAUGACUUGGAUUUACAAUUUGUAAGCAGAACUCAUGCUUCUUACUACCCCUUCCAGCUCUAAAAUACAUAUAUGUUUUUUUUUCUUAUUUUGUACCGCUAAACUAUGUGUGCUAAACAAAGCAUGUCGUAUUAUUUUCAGAUAAAUGAUGAUGUAGUUAUGCGCGCCAUCCAAACAAUACACACGUGGUUCCCAAAUUGGAGCAUAUAUUUCCGUGAAGAUCUUGAAGUAUGGUCUUUGCUUUCUCUUCUCACAUCUGCCAUUUAGAAUUUAUUUCCCUAUUUCUAUCACAUAUGCACUGCUUUACCAAGAUCCCACUUUGAUUAACGUCGUUCUAUUAUACUGGAUGUUUAUUCGCCUGUCACAAUGGCAUAUCCAUGUUGUUUAUAUUGUUUGGUUUGUAUUUCAUGCACGGAGUGACUUGGUUGUUUGCCGCCGUCUCCACUUGGUUUCCUCCAUGUUUCGAUCUGGUACCUCCACUCCUCACCACCUUGCUUGCCGUGCGAGCGUGUGGGUGUGUGUAUAAGUGCAACGCUUGGUUUGGUCAGUCGCUGAUUCCUCCGAACAAUUGGACUAUUGGGUGCUCAAAGACUUUAGGGGGUAGGACGGAUCCAACAAUGCAAGGAAUCGAUCAGUGGAAGUGUGGCACUCCUCAGAGCUCAGGCCUUCCUGGCCGUUGGAUCAGUUUGUUGAUGCGUUCUCAGCCGUGCAAUCUUGCCUUCGGAUGACUUUGGUCGUCGGAUCAAAUCCGAUUACUGCUACAAUGAGUAGUGAUGGAGACAUAGAACCUGUCAUCAUUUUGUCGGACUAAUUAUGGAGUUACUUGUGCAAGUUACACCAUCAGCAAACACAUGAAGACCUGAAUGCUAUCAUUGCAAGUUGAACAUUUACAUGCUCCAAGUCAAUCUGUUAGGGAGAAAACAAAGGCGUGUGUGCCUAUUAGUAAUUUUUUGUUUUAUCAUAGUGGGCACCUUAUCUGUCUGUAACAUGUGCCCUGUGCAACUGCAAAAGUGUUGGACAAUAAAAAUUCUGUGUAACACAUGUUCCUAUACACUCUACCUACGGUUAGUAUAGAAACUAUGCAUAGUUGUUACUCUUUUGGUGGCCUUGUGUAAUAUAUAUGGCAAAUAAAUUAUCAUGAACUAUUGAGCCUUUCACUUUUUCUGUAACAUACUGAACCUUUGCACUAUUGCUUUCAUCGUAUAAUCGUAUGAGAUAUAAAAUGUUUCAUAUCAGGUUGGAUAUAGCUGAGGCGGGUGGGGUGUGGCAAGCCGCACUUCCUAUCUAGUUAUGUAUGACUGUGGAAUGAGUUUGAACCCUGCAAUGGACUUGGGCCAGGUUUGAGAUAUUUUCCACUGAGCUAUGCUCUUCUUUUAUCAUUCGACAGUUAACAUGGAUAUUUAUAUUGCAGCCCUGAUCAGAGUUGUUGUUCAUUAUAGUAAACGGCGGAAUCAUAUAUUCAUUAUUCAUAUCUGAUCUCUAUCAUCAUCUGACAGAUUGAAUGCUCCUUUAUACAAGGAAUUGGCUUCUUCAUAAACAAAGAACACGGAACGAAACAAACACUGAUGGAAUGGUUGUGAGCGAUAGCACAUGGGUAUACAAGAUCCCGAGCAUCGACACCGUCCCAAAGCAGUUCAAUGCCGAGGUGCUCAACACCGGAUACCACAAGAACCGCGUGCUCUCGUCGAAAGGUAGAGAGUGUGAUCUCUUUCCCUGGAGCAACAACAUGAAUAUAUUUCACUUGUUUGCAUGAAAAAUAUCAUUAGUUAUUAAGGUAAUCAAACCACGUUUGCCUCUGUCAGCUUCGGGGGAACCUGCCUUGGUUCUCGCAUCAUUCGUCCAUUGCGUGGUGAGAGAAGCCAUCCGAGCAGUGAGGAAGGAGUUUGGAACGCUCGUGAAAGAAAUGUGUCGUUGCAUGAUGCAAGAUUCUGGUGGUAUCAACCAGAAGGAGCGGUGUGGCGUUCUCAUGUUGCGCAGCAUCGAAUGGCAAAUCAUAGACGUGAUGUUUGAAUGUUUGUAAUGUCCAGUGUUGUGCUUGCACACUUUUCUAAUAACUAAAAACAAAGCUUGUGAUUUAUAUGUCCAUAAUAAUGUGAUUUUGUAAAUAAAUGUUUAUUAAAUUCUGCCAUGGAUUACCUUAUAAUUUUGAUCAGAAGUUUGGUAAUUAAAUUAAAGUGGAAUUGGUUAAGAAGGUAAUUAAAUUAAUUUGAUUGAUUAUCAUACAUAGGGGUAGUGGGAAGAAAUGUAAAAUGAGAACCUUACAUUCUUUUUAAGUAGUAUAGAGAAGAGAAGAUAGAGAUAGAGAUAAUUCCAGGUUGAGAUUUGUGUUUGUAAGUCCUGACUGAACCUAAAGGCGGUGCCAGCUCCCAUGCUAGCUGCUCGCAUGCCACUUGGAAUGACUCGCUCAAUCUAACACUUUCCCUUUGGCUCCCCUUCCCCCUCCCUCGCCGCCGGUCCUCGGCCCCUUGCCCUCCCUCUCCCCUCGCCGCCGCAGGGCAAAGGAAGAACACUGAAGUUGAAAUCAGUAAAGAAGUAAAGAGUACUUCUCAACAAAAAAAAAGUAAAGAGUGCCCAAAAGGGUACAAACUGAUAACUAGAUAAAGAGUACAGUGGCAAAAUGAAAUUAUCAAAGGUCAAAUAGCAAAUGAAACAAGCAAACAAAGUACCAAAUAAGAUAAGAAUUAUCACAGCCAUUCAAGACAAAGGAAGAACAGAAAAAGAAUGAACAGAAGACAAGAAAAAGAUCAGUUCAAAUUUCAGAUGUUGAAGGUCAUUUUUAUUCAAGUAUAUCCAUUGGGCGACAGGCGCAGAGUUGGCCUGUUUAUAAAAAGUUACUCCCUCCAUCCCACAAUAUAAGAUCGUUUCUCGAAAAACGAUUUUACAUUGUGGGACUGGGGGUAUUAAUGGUACUUCUGCAAAACAUGAGAUCAUAAGAGGUAUAUGCUGGCAUAUGACAAUAUGGUUGUUCUCCACAUAUUUUGGCUUCUAAAAGCAUUAAAAAGGUCAUCGACAAAAGGCUAACCAUCCAAAUUGUAAUCUUUGAGGCCAGUUAGCAGCUGCUGUGCUGUGCCAAAACAGUAGAAAAGAUAUUGAUAACUUCCGACUUCAAUGUGCAUCACUGCCAAAAGAACCAGUAAAAAUUUAAUGGUGUAGUAAAGGAGGACAUGCACAGACAGGAAAAGAGGGCAUGUUUGGAACACAGAAAUGGGAAAAUUUUGCUGCAGAUCAUGUUUCACACAUUUAAAAGGGAGUGAACACAUUCAACCACUACCAGUAGUAGGACCAGAGACCACCAGAGUGAGACGAGCUUAAGCAAAAGCCCGAAUGCACCGAAUUGGCACCCUCCAUGGACCACAAAAUCAUGAGAAGGCAAACUGAACACCACAUGAGGUGAUUUGUGCGUAGCUGCUCUUAAUGAGAUAGGCGAAUGCCAAACUACGACAAUUUAUCAAACUAAACAUAAGAAGGCGACAGGAAUAAAUCAACAAGGAGCCAUAUCAAUAUUCCGUGAGAAUGAAAAGAUCCCAAAGGAGGGGAGAGCACAUUUUUAUACCCUCAGCUCCUCGGUUUAUGUCAGCCAUGUUUGAUCACCAAAGCCCAAGCCAGCCAGCCAGCCAGAUAGAUGAUGCAAAGGGGUACCGAUUCCCACCCCAAACCACCAACCCCUGCUGUUUCAGCCAGAACCCUUCCUCAUUGCUGGGGCUUGGAAUGGCAAGCAUCGAAGGUUAAAGUUAACAAGGACAACACUAUCAAAUGUCAAUACAAGAAAAAAUGAUAAUGGAGGCAAAAAUAGGAACAAAAAAACUGAACAAUAGCAACAAUAAGAAACUGCUUUUAAAUUGGUUCAAUGAAAAUAUUUCACGCCAUCUUACCUUCGAGAAGGUCCACAAAAAGAACCAGAGCCAUAGGUAACGCCAGGUUCACUUUUCAAGCUACAGGCCCACAAUGUACAGAAGAGUACAUACGACUUAAUUUUCAACAUGAGAAAAACACACAAAAGCUGUUCAGGAAAAUCAAGCUGUUUUUUAGAAUACUCACUGAUCCAAUUACUAUAAUAAUCUGACAAAAGAAGUAUAAAACACAGGUAUCAUAACAAACACAUGGCGCACAAGGAAUAGUUCACAAAAUCAAGGAAAAUUUUGGAGUAUUGUUUGAAUGGCUCAGAUUUACCCCACCAUGAAUCACCGAAGUUGGAAAAUGCUUGAGAUAGUAAAACAACAACAAAGCCUUUCAGUCCCAAACAAGUUGGGAUAGGCUAGAUCUGAAACCCAUAAGAUACUGAAACCUACUCAUGGUUCUGGCACAUGGAGAACUUCCAUGCACCUCUGUCCAUGGCUAGUUCUUUGGUGAUAUUCCAGCAAAAAAAAACCUCUCCCUCUUUCUUCACCCAGCAACAAAUAGCCACAACUGGUAACAUGCUGCAGAGCAAGGCCUCCUAGUUUAACGACUAAUUGUCUAGCUGAGUAGAGUUGAACGGAACCAACCUAGGAGAUGUAAAAACAUCUCCAUCUCAGGAUAUGGUGAAAGAUCUCCAGCACCACAAGGGGCACAAAAAUCAUCAUAGCCAUACAGUAAAGAAUAGAACGCAUCAACACACAAUGGAAACAAAUAUGCUGUGUCCAGAAGUUAAUUCGGACUGAUGGUCGCAUUACUGCAAUGAAAGAAGUAACUGACAUUUCUUCACUUCGGACAAAAGGAGUCACUGCAGGCCAAAUAAAAACAGGAUAACAUAAAUUUUCGUGUUUGAACCAGAAGAAAAACAUAAACUUGCCAACCAGGUUAUCACAGCACAGCAUCAACCAAAUGGGAUCCUUUACCCCAAACAGAAAAGGGGAGGUGCCGCUCGCUUGUUUAUCCCAUGAAAAAUGGGGUUCCAAUGCUAAAUAAUCAGGUAUGUGACAUUGGACAGUGGCAUACUAUUCCACCAUGAAACCAAACACAUAUCAGUCCAACCUUUGGCAAAACGAAAACAAAACCAAAGAACACUGAAUAAAUUUGAAAAUAUAUAAGAUACAGAGAAGGGAGACAAUGGCUAAUAUACAGAUCCCAGGUGACCCAAGCAAAAGCACCAAGAGCACCUUCAAUCAUGAUUAGACAAAAUAUAAAAUCUUUUUAAACAAACGAAUGCAAUUGACUGGACACUCAUUUUAAACAACCUGCGAGGAAUCAGUUCCUCGCUAAUGAAUCAAAAUGUGGCAAGUUGACAGCAGCAGCUUAAAAAGAGACUAAUGACCAGCAAAAUAAAUACUACCGUGGUUGUUGCCAACGGGGAUCCCCCAUUCCGAAAGGUAACGGGACCAGCCCUUAGGUCCAAAGUUGUAUGCCACUGCUGUGGUGCUGAUAGAUUCACUACUGAAGCCCCGUUAUCGGACAUUGCAGGCUUAGCAUCUAUUUUUCGUAUAUCGCUCCACCACACCGAGAAGUCUGCUCUGACCAAAAUAAAACUAACGCAGUAUGAGCUUCAGUUCUAAGAAAACGCAGUUAUUGCUGAUCAUAACUUUGUCUUUGAAGAAGCAUCUGGCAGGACAAGACAAGCAAAACAACAGCUUCUCGUUAACCACAUGAAUAGAACAGCCAAUAGCUAAAAACAUUGGAGAAAAAAGGACAAUCCUGUGAUACACAAUCCCUCCGUCCCAUAAUAUAAGAGCGUUUUUUACACUAUAUGUAUUCCCUCCAUAUAUUCAAUGAGAGCUCAGGUGGAGAGGGAUUCAGAAUUAAGGCAGCAGAUUAGGGUGUAAUUGCAUGCGUACCGAUUCAAGCCAAAAAGCGGAACUGUAUCGUGAAAAAUCCAUCGCGGCAGCUCAGAUCUCAGGCCUCCUUUGGUUCAUAGGAUAGGAAUAUCAUAGGAAUAGGAGCCAUAUGAGUUUUCCCAUAGGAAUCAUAUCCUAUAUAAUUCCUACGAAAUUCCUGUAAACCAAAGGAGGCCUCACUGUGGACAGCCGACUUCCCAGGCAUGAGAGGCCACACAGGGUCCCAAUCUUCCACGAUGCCCAACCCAAAACCGCCAGCCCCUGCCGUUUCAGCUGCGGCAACUGCCCGAGGAGGGUCCCAAGCCAAUGCAUCAGUGCAGUGGGCCUGAACAGGAGGGGUGGCCCCAUGAACCAAAGCUCCAAGGCCACCACCAGGGCUAGGGAUGAUGUCUGGGAAGUUUUGUAAGGACAAUGAUGGCAAGCAUCAAUAAUGGUAGUUAAGGAGGACUAUUAUACCAAUGUCAACACAAGGAAAAGUAAUAAUUGGAUGGUAAAAAGAGGGGGGAGGGGGGGUGUUAACAGUAGCAUUAAAAAACUGCUUAAAAUUGGUUCACUAUAAAAAGACUUCACAUCCUCUCACCUUCCCUGAAGGCCAGAAGGUCCACAGACAGAAGGAACCAGAGCCAUAGAUAGGCGGGUUCACUUUUCAAGCUACAGCCCGGAGUGUAGAGUAUAAACGACUUAAUUUUCACCAUGGGAUCAUGACCAUUCACGAUUGCCAACAAGAUAUAGUUUAAAAAAGGCUGUUUAGGAAACCAAGCUGUUUUCUGGAGUAUAUUUCAGAAGUACCCAAUCCUAAAAUUUCUAUAAUCAGGCAGAAGUACAAGUGCGAAGUGUUAGACUCACGUACCAUAACAAAUACAUGAGGAAUCCUCUACUUCUCAAUAGCUACAACCCACUAGCUAAUUUUUAAUAACAUGCAGCCAUGCCACAACAGCACGUAUGGAUGUCAAUCACAAAUCAUAACUUACAUUUAUUUACAUCCAAUUCACGAUCUAAUUUUUCUAAGCAUGCAACCAUGCCACCUAAGGACCUAUGCAUGUCAAUUAUAAGUUGCACCUUUUUGCAUUAAUUUAAAAAUGAAACCGCGCCAUAUUACCAAGCGAUACAUGUCGAUGGCGUUGAUAAGUUAUAUUUUUUGAAUUGUAACAUGUCGACGUCGUUGAUAGGUUACAUUUGUUUAAUUGACUUUUAUAUUGUCAUAUACAGCAUACAUGGUGGAUACUUGAAGCCUAUCUACGUAGUUCAUGAUUUGCACUUUUUAUAGAAACAAAAUGGCAUGUUGCUACAAUGUAAGUCAAGAAUAUUAUUAUUAUCUUGCAUCAGUUUAGUUGUUUUCUAGCACCUAUUAAUACAAUUAUUUUAACGAGGUUCCCACGGCAACACACGGGGGCCAGGGCAUCAUCUAGUAGUUCACAAAAUCCGGGAAAUUUUUGGGGAGUACUACUUGAAUGAAUGGCUCAGAUUUACCUGCCCAUGAAUCACCUUAGUUGGACAAUGCUUCAGGUAGUACCAUAAGGAAUAAAACCUCUCUCUCCACUCAGCAACAAAUAGCCACAACUGGUAACUUGCUGUAGAGCAAGGCCUCCUAGUUUAAUGAUUAACUGUCUAACUGGGCAAAGUUGAAUGGAACCAACCUAGAGACGUGAAAGUGUCUCUAUCUCAGGAUAUGUUGAACGACACCAUGGGGCGGAAAUCAUCAUAGCCAUUCAGAAAAAGAAUAAUUAACAACAACACACAACAGAAACAAAUAUGCUGUGUUCAGAAGUUAAUAUGGAAUACUGCACUGAUGGCCGUAUUACCGGCAAUGAAAGAAGCAAUUGCCAUUUGUUCACUUCAGAUAAAACGAGUGACUGCAAGCCAAAAUAAAAACAGGAGAACAUGAACUUUCUUUUUUGCAACAGAAGAAAGCCAUCAACAGGGUUAGUGCUGCAGGUUACAGUGAACAUAAUGUAAACGAGAAAUAGAAUUGUAGAUUCAGAAUUUAAAAAAAUAUAAUUAAUAAAUUAAUAGAUCAAAUGUAAUUAUUACAAUUGCUGAUGCUUGCGGUGCCGUAGUGCAGCAAAUACAUGAAUGUAAGACCUUCCGCAAAAUAAAAUGCGGUUACGACUAAAUGGGAAUGCUGAGACAAAAAACAGAACAUGCAUAACAAAGGACAUACAGUUGCAAAUAAUAGCAUAGUUUGAUGAAAAGAUGUGAAAUCCUGUUCCUCUUUCUAGGCCCUUCACAACACAAUUUUUUUAUUUAUUCAAACAAAGUAGUCCUUAAUGAUGCAUCUUUAUUUCAAAGCAUUCUGCUGUAAGCAACCAAACUGUUAAGUGGAUUCUUAAUUCCAUGUAAUCUCUCUCCACACUGUUAAGUGGAUUCUUAAUUCCAAUGUUUAACAGUAAUUGUUAGCCGCUAAACCGGUUACUUGUUGUGACACAAGGACUCCUAGAGUCUUAGUUUAGCAUCUACUGAACCAAUUCAGGUAUUAGAUAGAAGCACCCACAUGGAAGCUAUAUCAUCGCAGCCAUUCAUGAACAUGACAUGAAGGAAACAGUAAUCUUGACAUCUGAACUUGCCCUAUAUGACCCUUAAGAUGAAAACCAGUAAAUAAAUGAGGAGUGCCCAAAAGUACAAACUGAUAACUAGAUAAAGAGAACAGUAGCAAAAUGAAAUUAUCAAAAGUCAAAUAGCAAUUGAAACAACCAAACUGAUACAGUACCAAAUAAGAUAAUUUCAAAAAAUACCCAAGGGCAGCAUUAUUAUCACAGCCAUUCAAGGAAAAAUAAUAACAGAAAAGAAAAGGCCCGGAUGCACCAAACUGGUUCCCUCAAUGGACAACAAAAUCAUGGCAAGGCAAACCGAACACCACGAGAGGUGAUUUGUGCGUAGUUGCUCCUAAUGAGAUGGCCCAAUGCUACAACCACGACAAUUCAUCAAUUUAAAACAUAAAAAUGCAAUAGGGAUAAAUAGAUGUGUAGAGGGCACAGUAUUAGUUGCAUUGAGAUUUGAGAGGGCUCAGAUUCGCCUUUGAUAGAUCAUACAACCUGGCUCCAUCUUCUUUCACCAGAUCAACCCCCACCACUGAGGUCGAGCUCCUCUGGUUAUCACUCAGCAGAAUGACCAUCCAAGACAGAGCCGUCAAUAUUCGGUGAGAAUGAUAAGGUGCCAAAAGAGGGGAGAGUAGGUUUUUGAAGCCCACAGCUCCUCGAAUAAUCGAAGACAAGUUUAUGUCAGCCAUGUUUUAUCAUCAUCGCCUCAAAUAGAUAGACAGAUAGAUGGAUGGAUGGGUCGAUGGAUAGAUGGAUGGAUCGAUGGAUACAGGGGGUUAGAUUGUACUGAAGUUUCGGACAUGGUUCAUUUGUGCGAACCUUUACAAAAAGGUCAAAACAGUGAUUUCGGCAGCAACAUGACCAUAGUAUCCAUACAUCCAUACAUACAUGCAUCCAUACAAACAUGCAUGCAUGCCAGAAGUUGGCUGUACUAUUAACCAUGCUCUCAGGAGUUGCUCAUGUCUGGCAUCAGCCGACCAGAGUACCAGACCUCCGGCUCGGACGACGCAUCAGACAACACUGUAUGGUUCCCAGCCCACGCCACAACCGAAUCCAAGGCAAUGGAAUGGCGGUGGCUGACGGCACCAUAGCGUUAGUCCACCCGGACCAUGGGUCAGCAAGUAGGCAAUGACAGCUUGACUGAUUUGUUGUAGGAUAUAUAUAUAUAUAUAUAUAUAUAUAUAUAUAUAUAUAUAUAUAUAUAUAGAGAGAGAGAGAGAGAGAGAGAGAGAGGAGGAGGAGGAUUCACACCGAAUCCAAAACAAAAUGCAACUGAACAGUGAAAAUUCAGUGUAUGUAGCGUAGCAAAAGAGGGCUCAGCUUUGUCAUUCAUCUUCAAACCCAACACCCACAUCUCUUGCUGCAUGAUCUACCCAUCGCAGUGUAAGAGAACUGCCCUGGUUGUCACUCAUCAGAACGACCGUCCAAGGGACAGAUCAUCCAACAUCGGCGAAAAAUUGAGCAGGCUGCAACAGAGGCAAGGGUGGUGACACCGACUUUUUCAGCUCAGUUUAGUCCCACAAACAAAGGCUGUCUCGAUUGCUCAAGACAUCAUUAUUUCAGCCACAGUCAUCAUCAUCGUCGUCGUCGUCGUCAUCGCCCCUCUUUUUGGUCCAAAAAUGAGGUUGCCUCGGCACACCAAGCAACAUGACCAUGAUACUCCAUUACAUGUGUGCACACAUCCAGCCAUCAAGCUCAGGAGCUGCUCAUACCUGGAGUCGACCGACCAAACCCCCCGUGCGGACGGCUCGUCAGACAAACACCGUACGGUUCCCAGCCCACGCCACAGCCAAAUCCAAGGCAAUGGAACGGCGGUGGCUGGCAGCACCGCAGGGGUGCGAAACUGACGUGGCGGCCAACCGGAUGAUUGGCCGGCGAUCCGGCAACGAGAGCUCGCCUGAUUCGGUUUAGGGUUAGUUUUGUCUUCCAUCUUCAAGCCCAACCCCCACAUUUCUUGCUGCAUAAUCUACCCAUCACGAUGCAAGAGAACUGCCAUGGUUAUCACUCAACAGAAUGACCGCCCGAGGCACAAAGCAUCCAACAUCAGCGAUGAAUUAGACAGGCUGCAAGAGAGGCAAGGGUGGGCUCCAAGGCCAACUCCAACGCAGACACCGAUAUUUUUUUCAGCUCUGUUUAGUACCACCACACCACAGCUGCCUUGAUUGCUCAAGACAUGGUUAUUUCAGCCAUCGUCGUCGUCGUCAUCAUCAUCAUUGCCCCUCUUUUUUUCUCAACCCACCUCCGGGCUCUACACAGCAAGCAACAUGACCAUGAUAUCCAUACAUUCAUACUCCCUCCGUUCAAAAAUAGGAGUCGUGGUUUUAGUUCACGACACAUGAACGCAUCCAUCCUUCCAUCCAUCCAUCCUGCUCAGGAGCUGCUCAUGCCUGGCCUCGACUGACCAAACCCCCCGCUUGAACGACGCAUCAGACAACAGAGUACGGCUCCAGCCCACGCCACAACCGAAUCCAAGGCAAGGGAACGGCAAUGGCUAGCGGCGCCGUAGCGGUGUGGAACUGACGCAGCGGCCACCAGGACGACGGGUCAGCGAUCCGGCAACGAGAGCUCGCCUGAUCCGGUUUCGGGUUAGGGUUCACUGGUGUGGACUCUGCGCGCGCGAGCACACAGAGAGUGAGCGAGUGUGUGAGAAUCUGAGUGAGAGAGAGAGACGGGGACAGUACCGAAUCGAAAGCGAAACGCAGCCAAGCUGCGAGAAAUCCAUGGACGGCGGCUCAGAUCCCGCACCGGCCCGACCAAUCCCUCGACCGGAACGCCUCACGGGCCCCGCCGCUCGGUCCCCACUCCCCAGCCCGCGCCGCGGAGGCCUCCCGCACCGGCGGCAGCCCCGAGGGGCCUCCAAGCCGAUGCGCGAUCCGCCGCGGCGGGAGGGGCUGGCCCCGAGGAGCGGCGACCCGGCGCGUCCGCAGGUCGGGAGCCUGGCCGGCGCCGGCGGCUCCAUCCAUCAUCGCCGCCGUUUGGGCAGGGACGGGCCCCGGCCGACGCGGUCAUCGGCCACGGCAUGCGAGACGGGCGCGGCGGCGGGAUUCGCU